Molecule: long non-coding RNA, 61195 nt
Filed under: Triticum aestivum (bread wheat)
Lineage: Eukaryota; Viridiplantae; Streptophyta; Magnoliopsida; Poales; Poaceae
Description: long non-coding RNA (TAES_LNC013269)
Rfam family: MIR1120/MIR1122 microRNA precursor family (bases 59659-59743)
Source: RNAcentral
AUCAUCGCGGUCGCAUGUGACGAAAAGGAUGUGGUGUGUGCUACCUCUAGAGCACUGAGUUGGUUUUCCCUUGAAGAGGGAAGGGUGAUGCAGCAAAGUAGCAUAAGUAUUUCGCUCAGUUUUUGAGAACCAAGGUAUCAAUCCAGUAGGAGGCCACACGCAAGUCCCUCGUACCUACACAAACAAAUAAGAACCUUGCAACCAACGCGAUAAAGGGGUUGUCAAUCCCUUCACGACCACUUGCAAAAGUGAGAUCUGAUAGAGAUGAUAAGAUAAUAUUUUUGGUAUAUGAUAAAGAUUAAAAGUAAAGAUUGCAAAAUAAAUGGUGCCAGAAAUAGCUCGUUGACGGGAGAUUAAUAUGAUGGAAAAUAGACCCGGGGGCCAUGGGUUUCACUACUGGCUUCUCUCAAGAUAGCAUAAGUAUUAUGGUGGGUGAAAAAAUUACUAUCGAGCAAUUGAUAUAAAAGUGCAUAAUUAUGAGAAUAUCUAGGCAUGAUCAUGUAUAUAGGCAUCACGCCCGUGACAAGUAGACCGACUCCUGCCUGCAUCUACUACUAUUACUCCACACAUCGACCGGUAUCCAGCAUGCAUCUAGAGUAUUAAGUUCAUAAGAACAGAGUAACGCAUUAGGUAAGAUGGCAUGAUGUAGAGGGAUAAACUCAUGCAAUAUGAUAUAAACCCCAUCUUUUUAUCCUUGAUAGCAACAAUACAAUAUGUGUCGUUUCCCCUACUUUCACUGGGAUCGAGCACCACAUGAUUGAACCCAAAGCUAAGCACUUCUCCCAUUGCAAGAAAGAUCAAUCUAGUAGGCCAAACCAAACUGAUAAUUCGAAGAGACUUGCAAAGAUAACCAAUCAUACAUAAAAAAAUUCAGAGAAGAAUCAAAUAUUGUUCAUAGAUAAUCUGGAUCAUAAACCCACAAUUCAUCGGAUCUCGACAAACACACCACAAAAAGAGUUACAUCAAAUAGAUCUCCAAGAAGAUCGAGGAGAACUUUGUAUUGGGAUCCAAAGAGAGAGAAGAAGCCAUCUAGCUAAUAACUAUGGACCCGAAGGUCUGUGGUAAACUACUCACACAUCAUCGGAGAGGCUAUGGUGUUGAUGUAGAAGCCCUCCGUGAUCGAUGCCCCCUCCGGCGGAGCUCCGGAACAGGCCCCAAGAUGGGAUCUCAUGGGUACAGAAGGUUGCGGCGGUGGAAUUAGGUUUUGGCUCCGUAUCUGGUAGUUUGGGGGUACGUAGGUAUAUAUAGGAGGAAGAAGUAGGUCGGUGGAGCCACGAGGGGCCCACGAGGGUGGAGGGCGCGCCCAGGGGGGUAGGCGCGCCCCUUGCCUCGUGGCCUCCUCAUAUGUUUCUUGACGUCCACUCCAAGUCCUCUGGAUCACGUUUGUUCCAAAAAUCACGCUCCCGAAGGUUUCAUUCCGUUUGGACUCCGUUUGAUAUUCUUUUUUUGCGAAACACUGAAAUAGGCAAAAAAACAGCAAUUUUCACUGGGCCUUGGGCUAAUAGGUUAGUCCCAAAAAUAAUAUAAAAGUGUAUAAAUAAGCCCAUUAAACAUCCAAAACAUAAUAUAUAAUAGCAUGGAGCUAUCAAAAAUUAUAGAUACGUUGGAGACGUAUCAAGCAUCCCCAAGCUUAAUUCCUACUCGUCCUCGAGUAUGUAAAUGAUAAAAACAUAAUUUUUGAUGUGGAAUGCUACUUAGCAUAUUCUUCAAUGUAUUUCUCUUUAUUGUGGCAUGAAUGUUCAGAUCCGAAAGAUUCAAUAUAAAAGUUUAAUAUUGACAUAAAAAUAAUAAUACUUCAAGCAUACUAACAAAGCAAUUAUGUCUUCUCAAAAUAACAUGGCCAAAGAAAGUUCAUCCCUACAAAAUCAUAUAGUUUGGUCAUUCUUCAUUUUUGUCACACAAGAUGCUGUCAUCUUGCACACCCCCGAUGACAAGCCAAGCGAUUGUUUCAUACUUUAGUAAUCUCAAACUUUUUUCAACUUUCACGCAAUACAUGAGCAUGAGCCAUGGAUAUAGCACUAUGGGUGGAAUAGAAUAUGAUGAUGGGGGCUGUGUGGAGAAGACAAAAAGGGAGAAAAUCUCACAUUGACGCAGCUAAUCAACAGGCUAGGGAGAUGCCCAUCAAUUGAUGUCAAUGCAAGGAGUAGGGAUUGCCAUGCAACAGAUGCACUAGAGCUAUAAAUGUAUGAAAGCUCAACAAAAGAAACUAAGUGGGUGUGCAUCCAACUUGCGUGCUCAUGAAUACCUAGGGCAUUUGAGGAAGCCCGUCAUUGGAAUAUACAAGCCAAGUUCUAUAAUGAAAAAUUCCCACUAGUAUAUGAAGUGACAAAACAAGAGACUCUCUAUCAUAAAGAUCAUGGUGCUACUUUGAAGCACAAGUGUGGAAAAAGGAUAGUAGCAUUGUCCCUUUUUAUUUCUCUCUUUUUUUCUUUUUUUUGGGCCUUUCUUUUUUGGGCCUUUCUCUCUCUUUUUUUAUUUGGGACAAUGCUCUAUUAAUGAUGAUCAUCACACUUCUAUUUAUUUACAACUCAAUGAUUACAACUCGAUACUAGAACAAAAUAUGACUCUAUAUGAAUGCCUCCGGCGGUGUACCGGGAUGGGCAAUGAAUCAAGAGUGACAUGUAUGAAACAAUAUGCAUGGUGGCUUUGCCACUAAUACGAUGUCAAGUACAUUAUCAUGCAAGGCAAUAUGACAAUGAUGAGGCGUGUCAUAAUAAACGGAAUGGUGGAAAGUUGUAUGGCAAUAUAUCUCAGAAUGGCUAUGGAAAUGCCAUAAUAGGUAGGUAUGGUGGCUGUUUUGAGGAAUAUAUAAGGAGGUUUAUGUGUGAUAGAGCGUAUCGUAUCAUGGGGUUUGGAUGCACCGGCGAAGUUUGCACCAACUCUCAAGGUGAGAAAGGGCAAUGCACGGUACCGAAGAGGCUAGCAAUGAUGGAAGGUUGAGAGUGCGUAUAAUCCAUGGACUCAACAUUAGUCAUAAAGAACUCACAUACUUAUUGCAAAAAUCUACAAUUCAUCAAAAACCAAGCACUACACGCAUGCUCCUAGGGGGAUAGAUUAGUAGGAAAAGACCAUCGCUCGUCCCCGACCGCCACUCAUAAGGAUGACAAUCUAAGAACACCUCAUGUUUCAAAUUUGUUACACAACGUUUACCAUACGUGCAUGAUACGGGACUUGCAAAUUUCAACAGAAGUAUUUCUCAAAUUCACAACUACUCAACUAGCACAACUUUAAUAUUACCACCUUUAUAUCUCAAAACAACUAUCAAGUAUCAAACUUCUCUUAGUAUUCAAUGCACUUAAAAGUUUUUAUCUUGGAUGCCUAUCAUAUUAGGACUAAUUUUAUAACCAAAGAAAAUUACCAUGCUGUUAUAAAGGACUCCCAAAAUAAUAUAAGUGAAGCAUGAGAGAUCAAUAAUUUCUAUAAAAUAUAACCACCACCGUGCUCUAAAAGAUAUAAGUGAAGCACUAGAGCAAAAUUGUUUAACUCAAAAGAUAUAAGUGAAGCACAUAGAGUAUUCUAAUAAAUUCCGAAUAAUGUGUGUCUCUCUCAAAAGGUGUGUACAGCAAGGAUGAUUGUGGUGAACUAAAAAUCAAAGACUCAAAUCAUACAAGAUGCUCCAAGCAAAACACAUAUCAUGUGGUGAAUAAAAAUAUAGCUCCAAGUAAAGUUACCGAUGGACGAAGACAAAAGAGGGGAUGCCUUCCGGGGCAUCCCCAAGCUUAGGCUUUUUCGGUUUUCCUUAGAUUUUACCUUGGGGUGCCUUGGGCAUCCCAAAUCUUAGGCUCUUGCCACUCCUUGUUCCAUAAUCCAUCAAAUCUUUACCCAAAACUUGAAAACUUCACAACACAAAACUUAACAGAAAAUAUCGUGAGCUCCGUUCGCGAAAGAAAAAAAUAUGCCACUUCAAGGUACUGUAAUGAACUCAUUCUUUAUUUAUAUUGGUGUUAAAUCUACUGUAUUCCAACUUUUCUAUGGUUCAUAAACUCCAUUACUAGCCAUAGAUUCAUCAAAAUAAGCAAACAACAUGUGAAAAACAGAAUCUGUCAAAAACAGAACAGUCUGUAGUAAUCUGUAACUAACACAAACUUCUGGAACUCUAAAAAUUCUAAAAUAAAUUGUUGGACUUGAGGAAUUUAUCUAUUAAUCAUCUGCAAAAAAGAAUCAACUGAAUAGCACUCUCCAGUAAAAAGUUGUAGCUAAUCUCGUGAGGCUAAAGUUUCUGAUUUUUACAGCAAGAUCGCAAAGACUUUCCCCAAGUCUUCCCAAAGGUUAUACUUGGCACAAACACUAAUUAAAACACAAAACCACAUCUAAACAUAAGCUAGAUGGAUUAUUUAUUCCUAAACAGAACCAAAAAGCAAAAAAACUAAAAUAAAGUUGGGUUGCCUCCCAACAAGCGCUAUCGUUUAACGCCCCUAGCUAGGCAUAAAGGCAAGGAUAGAUGUAGGUAUCGCCAUCUUUGGGAUGCAAUCCAUAAGUGGCUCUCAUGAUAGAUUCAUAAGGUAAUUUUAUUUUAUUUCUAGGAAAGUGUUCCAUGCCUUUCCUUAACGGAAAUUGGAAUCUAAUAUUUCCUUCCUUCAUAUCAAUAAUUGCACCAAUCGUUCUAAGGAAAGGUCUACCAAGAAUAAUAGGACAUGAAGGAUUGCAAUCUAUAUCAAGAACAAUGAAAUCUACGGGCACAUAAUUCCUAUUUGCAACAAUAAGAACAUCAUUAAUUCUUCCCAUAGGUUUCUUAAUGGUGGAAUCCGCAAGGUGGAAGUUUAAAGAACCAUCAUCAAAUUCACGGAAACCUAGCAAAUCACACAAAGUUUUUGGAAUUGUGGAAACACUAGCACCCAAAUCACACAAAGCAUAGCAUUCAUGAUCCUUAAUUUUAAUUUUAAUAGUAGGUUCCCACUCAUCAUAAAGUUUUCUAGGGAUAGAAACUUCCAAUUCAAGCUUUUCUUCAUAAGAUUGCAUUAAAGCAUCAACAUAUGUUUAGUAAAAGCCUUAUUUUGACUAUAAACAUGCGGAGAAUUUAGCAUGGAUUGCAACAGGGAAAUACAAUCUAUUAAAGAAAAAUUAUCAUAAUUAAAUUCCUUGAAAUCCAAGAUAGUGGGUUCAUUGCUAUCCAAAGUUUUGACCUCUUCCAUCCCACUUUUACCAAAUUUUGCAUCAAGAUCUAAAAACUCCGAAUCAUUGGGACGCCUUUUAACUAAAGUUGACUCAUCUCCACUCCCAUCAUUAUCAAGAUUCAUAUUGUGAAAAAGAGAUUUAAUAGGGGACACAUCAAUUACUUUUAGAUCUUCAUCCUUAUUACCCUCCAAAUCUUCUGGUUUAGCGGCCAUCUUAUUGACUAAGGUGGCCUGCUUAUCCGAAAUUUGGGCUAUUAAUUUUUCAAGAUGAGCAAACUGAGAUCUCAAGCCAUAAAAUUCCUUAAGACAUAUCAUCAAGCUCUUUAUUCAUGUACCCCAUAAAGCUUUUUUGUUCUUUAAGCUCAUUUCUAAAGAAAUUAUUAUGGUCAAAUUGCAAAGUCAUAAAGCUUCUGACGUUGUUUUCAAUUUCUUCCAACCUUUUAAGGUAAGGAUCAACGUUUUUAGGCAGAGCCAUUAGGGCAAACAAACAACAAGAAGCAAGCAAAAAAGAGGCGAAUAGAAAGAGAGGGCGAAUAAAACGGCAAGGGUGAAGUGGGGGAGAGGAAAACGAUAGGCAAAUGGCAAAUAAUGUAAUGCGAGGGAUAAGAGUUUGUGAUGGGUACUUGUCAGAUCAUGGGUUCCGGCAAAACCCUUGAGGUUCGAACUCUGGGGUGCGCGCGAAGUUCUUUCCCCCUACCGAUCCACGCCCUAGGUGGCCAAGAUCUCGCGGAUGAACUCAACGAACUCACAACACAAGAGACACAAGAUUUAUACUGGUACGGGCCACCGUUGUGGUGUAAUACCCUACUCCAGUGUGGUGGUGGUGGAUUGCCUCUUGGGCUGAUGAUGAACGGUACAAGGGGAAGAACAACCUCCUGAGGUUGAGGUGUUCCUGUGCUUGGUGUGUGGCUAAGGAUCAGAUGAGAUGCCUCUGAAAUCAGUUCUCCCCUGCGGUGGUGGCUAGUUGUACUUAUAUAGGCCCUGGUCCUCUUCCCAAAUAUUGAGCGGGAAGGGAGCCAACAACGGCCAAUUUGAAAGGGGACAACUAGUAGAGCUUAUCCUAACAAAAGCGGUCUUCGCCUGCAAAAGGCUCUGGUGGUGACACCGCCUUGGGCUCCAUGGUGACCUCUGUCUUGCUGGUCUUGGUCUCCUUGCACCAGUAUGGAAACCUUUGCUUGACGCCUCGGUACUCCGCGCCUGCGCUUGCCUCCUUAGCACCAAAGAGGAAACAAGGCCGCUGCACGCGCUGGCGCCUGCCUGGCGCCCGCCUGAUCUUGAUCGUCAUGGCUCACGUCACGAGAACCUCGUGAGGUUUGCCUUGCCUUGAUCUCUCCGCCCCUCGUGAGCCAACCUGGUGAGGCCGCUCCUGAGGAGGUCUUGUGUCGUCUGCCUCACGAGGCUUGGCCCCUCGCGAGGGUCUUGAAUGCCUUGUUGAUGAAGAUGGGAAGUACAGGCCUGCUAGCACAGCCAUGCCGUGGGCCUCAGGCAGGCAAGUCUGGGGACCCCCGUUCCCAGAACACCGACAGUAGCCCCCGGGCCCAAGGCGCGCUCGGGCUUGGCUUCGAGGCGAAGCCAAAGGUCAAGGGCGGAGUGCCGCGGGCCCCAAAAGCCUGCGGCCUUGGUCGAUGUGUGGCGGUUGAUUGGACGUGGGCGUCUCCGCUUCCCCACGCCGCCUCGGCAACUGCCCGACUUGACAAGUCCAUGUGACAUGCAAGGGAAAACCAUCAUUACCUGUGAUCGUGGGAGGCACCGGUUGGCCUUCUCCUGCUAUAAAUGGGGAGGGGGGCAAAGCCCCCGUCAUCCAUCUCUUCCAAGUCCGCUUGCUUCUUCCUCCAUGCUCCUCUGCUAGCAACAAUGGCGCCAAUCCGAAGGUUCUCCGCCGAGGACAAAGGAAAGGCUCCCCGUGACGAGCCGGGGCCGCUUCCGCCAAAGAAGAGGUCGGUUUACCGCCGCGACGCAGCGGCGAUGCAGGUGGUGACGAGGCCUUGGUGUGAGCGGCCUUCUCCUGGGUAUCCGCUACCCCUGUACGCCCAAGCCGGGGGCUCAGGAGGAAGGAGCGACGAGCGGCGCCGCCCGCGGCACAACCGUGGCCGCCGCGCGAUGGCGAUACACGCCGUCGCCCCUGGAACCCAUGCUGCGGACUCCUCUCGCGAGCUCGUGCUGUGGGCGGCGACGCCCCCAAGCACCUGGAUCUGCUUCCCGCGGUUCUUCUCCGACGUGAUGCCGCCGAGGGGACCCCUCGAGCUCUGGUUGUAGCAUGCUGACUGCGACGCCCCAGCGAUCGGGGCAGAGGUUGAAGCGGUCUCCUCUGGCAAGAUCUUCAUGACCCGCGGCUGGGGUGAGGUUGCGCGGGUUUGGCGUGCUGAGGGCGCCCUCACAAUCCACUUCGACUAUGACGGCGCUUCCAUGCUGUUCUUCAAGGUCUUCGAUGCGGAGGGCCGCCGCCUAGAGUGCUGCCCUGGAGGGGUGCGCCAGGACGACACGCGCCCGGGCUGCGGCACCUCUAGCAGCAGCGACUCUUGGGCGUCCAGCGGUUGUCCCGAGCUCUACGAGACUCCGGAGACUAGCGACGACAACUACGUGCCCCCGAGCUCUCGCCGUGCCCGGAGCAGGGCUGCGGCGUCCAGCCGCCGCCGUCGCUGAUCUGGAUGGGGUUGGCGCCGGCCUCCCGCGGCCCACUGUUGAUGAUGGCGUCGGCCACCGGAGGGUGUAGAUAGGAUUCUCCUAGGUUCUCGUCUUUUGUUCCCUGCGAGGAAUCAAGAAGUACCCCGCGGGGGUGUGUAAAGGGCCUGUAAUGUCCUUUGUUGAUACUACCCUUGUUAUGAAAAUUUGCGAAUGCUUGCUCUGUUUAGGCUCGGUCUCCCCUUUCCAACCUCGCGACGGCUUGUUGCUCUAUGCUGACAGGUCCCGGUCCCCAGGCAAGCUGCGGCCGUUGCUCGUAUGCCAGGUCGCAUGCCGUGGUCAAGGCCAUGAGGUGAGAGGCCCGAGGACAAGUAAGAGCCCCUGAGGCGCGAUGCUCAGGAGGUGCCCUUUAGCGCUCAAGCAGCCAUGGUAAGGUAAGAAAGGGAGGCGACGUUUCCGCGACAGGGCUGCGGCGUGUGUGACCCUUAGGCUCCAGCAAUUAACCAAUCUGAGCGUGAGACCUAUCUUGGCGGUUUGGGGUCGAUUCCUUGCGAUGCUCUGCAUUAAUGCGUAGCUAGGCCAGGCCCGUGUGAGCCUCCCCCUCUUCUCCACGCUCUCCUUUAUGCUCUACGUCCUCAGGUCCCGGCCCUCGAGCGAGCUCAGCCGCCGCUGGUAUGCCAGAUCGCGUGCCGUGGUCAAGGCCAGGGGGUGAGGGCUGGAGAGCCAGUAGGAGCUCCUGAGUCGCGAUGCUCAGGAGCCCCACUUUUAACGCGCAAGCGGAUCGCAUGGGAGAAGAGGGAGCUCGCGGUGCCGCCUGCUGUCAUUCUCAUGAGAUUCCUGCGAGCCAGCACAAGGAGCAACAUAGUUUGCUAUUAUGGUUGCCAGUCCGCCGCCGGUUGCCUCGCGAGGAGACGAAGGCACUGAGGGCCUGGUGAGGUGACGUGCGCGGGGCGUGCCGCGAGCCAGAGCUCGGCCGCUCAGACUUGUCGACGUUGCAGGGACAGACCCCUGCACAAGCGGCGUGCCAGCGUGAGCAGCCCCCGUGGGGGGUGAGAGUCAAACAGGUGAUAAUCAUAAGCAGAUUAAGCACGGGAAGCAUACUGGCUUAGGUAAAUGCAGGGAAGAUACAUGCCACCAGGUCCGGCCCGAGCGGCUUGGGGAUGAUGCAGCCCGAGGGGCGCCCCCAGCAAGGUAAGCUAAAGACAUAAGAGAAAGGGGUACAUGCCACAGGGACGAACCCACGCGGAUGCAGCCCAAGGGGCGCUCCCAGCUAAACAAACUUGGAAAAUAUCACCUGGCUCUGUCGAUGAAGGGGUGUCGGGGCAGCUGAAGGUACGCGGCGAAGGAAUUGCUCCUCACGAGCCACCGGGGCCCUGAGCCUCGGGAGGCUCUGGGGGUCCAGGUGGUUCCCUGAGGAUCGUCUCCAUCUCCGUCAGGAUGGCAUGAUGCCUGGCCUCCUGAGGUACCAGGGCACGCCGCAAGUUGCGCUGAUAGGCGAACGACAUGCUCGGCAGGCCAAAAGGCAUGCGAACUUAGCUGCACGGUGGACCCUCACAGCGGCCCACGCGCGAAGGCCAGAAGGGCUCCUGAGAUGCGGCCCUUUUGAGCCCUAGGACGUCGAUGCAGACGCGCAGCCCGACAUCCUCACCUGGAUGGGGAGCUGCGCCUGGUGAGCGGCGGUCGCCGCGCAUGGCCCUUGCGUCUUACAGUUCCUGACUGGUCCUGGUGAUUAACUCCUGAGCGGUGGGCGCUCCUCGCCCUGUGUUCUCCUGAGGGAAAUGUGCCGUGAAGAACGCCACCAAGUGGUGCCCGAGCGCCUCCCUCGUGAUGUUGGCAAGGUCUGAGGCCCUCCAGAAGAGAGCCCCCGAGCCCUGCCCGAGGAGGGCGCUGGGCGCGCCUUCCUAUGCAAUGGAGGGAGAUGCCCCUGGCACAGGCGCUGAUCCUGACGAGGUUCCAGUUGCUUUGCCACCCUCUUGAGGUCCUGCACGGCGCAACUGCUUCUUCUUCUUGGGGAUGGCCUCAGGAGGGCAUUCACCCUUGCUGUCGGGGUCGCUGAUUACUGCAGCUUGAAAGGCAUGCUCAAGGGAGCACACUGCAUCUCUUUCUUCGCAUGGGACCGUGAUGAUUCCGCCGCUUCCGGGCAUCUUGAGGACAUUGUAGCCGUGAUUGGUCACUGCCAUUAACUUGGCCAGGGCUGGGUACCCGAGGAUGGCAUUGUACGACAGACGGAUGUGUGCGACGUCGAAGUCGAUGAGCUCGGAGCGGUAGUUCUUGCGUUCUCCAAAGGUGACAGGGAGGCGGACUUGCCCUAUCGGUGUGGUGGAACCGUCGGUUACUCCUGAGAAAGGCUUGGCGGGCUGAAGCUAGUCAUACGGCACUUGGAGGUUGUCGAACGUGUCGACAGACAGGACGCUGAGCCCUGCGCCGCUGUCGAUGAGGGUCUUGGUAACUUGCACGUUGCUGAUGACUAGGGAGCAAAGCAUCGGGAGGGCGCCUACGGUAGCCGUGCACUUGAGCUGAUCUGCCGAACUGAAGAUGAUGGCGCACUUGGACCACCUGAGCAGUCGUGUGGCCUCAAGCUUGGGGAGGACUGCAUGCACCUCACGAGCAAACUGUUUGAAGAUACGCUGCGAGGCUGGGGCCUGAGCUCCACCCAAGAUGCAGGCGAUAGCACGUGGCUCCUAGAAGCCCCAACCCCCUCAUCUUGAUGAUGGUCGUCAUUCCUUCUUGGCGGCGGCGGUAGUGGAGGAAGACCGGCGUUGCCUUGAGGACGAUCCUCAUGAGGCUGAUCCCUCCAGGCGUCCUCGCGAGGUUGAUCCCUCCAGCGGUCCUCACGAGGCCGGUCGCGCCACUCCUGGCACGGGCCGCGGUCGUCCCAGCGUUCGCCACCGCGUCCUCCUCCUCGGCCGUAGCCCAGGUUGUUGCGCUCGGGGGUCGACCGAAGCGUCCUUCUCGAAUGGCUCUGAGCUCUUGACAGUCGCUGGUGUUGUGGGUACGUAGGUUAUGGAAGGCGCAGAACGGUUGGCUGCUCUUGGAUGACUCGGGCUGGCCUCUGCCGCGCUUGGUGUCCGUUUCCGCCGCGAGCACGGCUGCUCCCUUGUGCUUCACGUCUUUGGCCUUGGCUUUCUACUCCUCUGGGUCUGCAGUCGGGAGCUCAAGGAGGAGAGGCACCCUUCCUCAGCUCUUGCGCACUUGGUUGCCAGGUUGAACAGCUCCAGGGACGUGCACAACUCCUCGUGGAUAGCGAGCUCCUCCUUCAUCUUGACGUCACAGACGCCAUCAGAGAACACGGAGAUGAUGGUCUCGUCCGUCACCUUGGGGAUCUUGAGGCGAACGUUGUUGAAACGCUGGAUGUACUUCUGGAGGGUCUCUCCUAGUUGUUGCUUGACGCGGCGCAGGUCACCCGCGGCCGGAGAGCAGUCGCAAGUGCCCUGGAAGUUGGCGACGAAGCGGUUGCGCAUCUCUUCCCAGGAGGAGAUCGAGCCCGGUGGCAGGUUCAGGAACCACGAACGUGCGCCGUCUUUAAGCACCAUGCGGAACCAGUUCGCCAUGACUUUCUCGUCGCCGUUGGCCGCCUCGAUGCUCAGCUCGUAGAGCUGCAGGAACUCCGCGGGGUCGGGGGUGCCGUCAUAGCGAGGAGGCAGAUCCGGUUUGAACUUGCCCGGCCAGGCGACGCUACGCAGCUCGGGGGUGAAGGCGCGGCAGCCGGCCGUGGUCACCGGGGCCCGUCUUGGAGGUGGAGCUUGGUCUUGACGCCCGCGCACCGCUACAGCAAGCGGCGCGGGGCCUUGCCGCGGCAAAUGAUCCUGGCGCGGCGGUGCGAGGAGUGACGAAGCGUUCUCUUGCGGUCGAGGGACUUCUUGACAGAUUCUUUCUUCACGCAUGGGCGCCGGACGCGGUGGGUCGCGCCGCGGAGCCACACGCCUAGGCGCCAGGGUGUCGUCUUGGUGUAGAGGCGGUGCAGGCGCUCUGUGAGCUACGUCGCCCGUAGCUGGCGGAGAGCGAGGCAGAGAGAGGGACGGCGUAGGGGAGCCCCCGCGGCGCGGACAAGCUCAGCGAUGCGGUCGAGCCAGUCCUCAUAGAGGUCGUCGAUCGGGCGGUAGCGCAGGAGCUCGGGUGCCAUGAGGAGCGCGGCCCGUGCGUCCAUGGGAGCGCGACGAGAGUGGGACGACGAACCAGCGGGAGUCGGCGAUGGAGUGGCGAUGUGGCCGUCCCGCCGCACUGAGGGGUGCAGCAAGGACGCUUGCUGCUCGUUCCCUGCCAGGCCGGUGGCGGCAUUGGCGGCAGGCGACGGAGAGCGACGGGGUGGCCCGCCGACAGGGGCCGUCUGAGCAACGCCGGUGGCGAGGGCAGCCCGGCGCUCGGCGCGGGCGCGGCGUGCGUCUGCCAUGGAAACGACGAAGCGACGUGGCGCGGAGCGACGGAAGGGAAGCUUCGAUGCACCCCUACCUGGCGCGCCAAAUGUCGGAUCACGGGUUCCGGCAAAACCCUUGAGGUUCGAACUCUGGGGUGCGCGCGAAGUUCUUUCCCCCCUACCGAUCCACGCCCUAGCUGGCCAAGAUCUCGCGGAUGAACUCAACGAACUCACAACACAAGAGACACAAGAUUUAUACUGGUUCAGGCCAUCAUUGUGGUGUAAUGCCCUACUCCUGUGUGGUGGUGGUGGAUUACCUCUUGGGUUGAUGAUGAACGGUACAAGGGGAAGAACAGCCUCCUGAGGUUGAGGUGUUCUUGUGCUUGGUGUGGGGCUAAGGAUCAGAUGAGAUGCCUCUGAAAUCAGUUCUCCCCUACGGUGAUGGCUAGUUCUACUUAUAUAGGCCCUGGUCCUCUUCCCAAAUAUUGAGUGGGAAGGGAGCCAACAACGGCCAAUUUGAAACGAGACAACUAGUACAGCUUAUCCUGACAAAAGUGGUCUUCGCCUACAAAAGGCUCUGGUGGUGACGCCGCCUUGGGCUCCAUGGCGACCUCUGUCUUGCCGUCCUGCUGGUCUUGGUCUCGUUGCACCGGUAUGGAAACCUUUGCUUGACGCCCCAGUACUCCGUGCCUGCGCUUGCCUCCUUAGCACCAAAGAGGAAACAAGGAAACUACGCGCGCUGGCGCCCGCCUGGCGCCCGCCUGAUCUUGAUCGUCAUGGCUCACGUCACGAGAACCUCGCGAGGUUUGCCUUGCCUUGAUCUCUCCGCCCCUCAUGAGCCAACCUGGUGAGGCCGCUCUUGAGGAGGUCUUGUGUCGUCCGCCUCGCGAGGCUUGGCCCCUCGCGAGGGUCUUGAAUGCCUUGUUCAUGAAGAUGGGCCAUACAGGCCUGCUACACAUCCACGCCAUGUGUCGCGGGCAGGCAAGGUUGGGGACCCCCGUUCCAAGAACACCGACAGUACUUGGUAUGUCUUGAGUUGUGCGUAGACUCCCCGGCAACGGCGCCAGAAAUCCUUUACCUCUUGAGCACUGCGUUGGUUUUCCCUUGAAGAGGAAAGGGUGAUGCAGCAAAGUAGCGUAAGUAUUUCCCUCAGUUUUUGAGAACCAAGGUAUCAAUCCAGUAGGAGGCCACGUGCAAGUCCCUCGUACCUACACAAACAAAUAAGAACCUUGCAACCAACGCGAUAAAGGGGUUGUCAAUCCCUUCACGGUCACUUGCAAAAGUGAGAUCUGAUAGAGAUGAUAAGAUAAUAUUUUUGGUAUUUUUAUGAUAAAGAUUUAAAGUAAAGAUUGCAAAAUAAACGGUGCAAGAAAUAGCUCGUUGACGGGAGAUUAAUAUGAUGGAAAAUAGACCCCGGGGCCAUAGGUUUCACUAGUGGCUUCUCUCAUGGUAGCAUAUGUCAGCGUUCUGGGAACGGGGGUCCCCAGACUUGCCUGCCUGCGGCCCACAGCGUGGCUAAGCCAGCAGGACGUACGGCCCAUCUUCAUCAACAAGGCAUCCAAGACCCUCGCGAGGGUCCAAGCCUCACGAGGCGGACGACGCAAGACCUCCUCUAGAGUGGCCUAGCCAGGCAGGCUCGCGAGGAGCGGAGAUAUCAAGGCGGGGCAAACCUCACGAGGCUCUCGUGACGUGAGCCAUGACGAACGGUGCCAGGCAGGCGCCAGGCGGGCGCCAGCGCGCGCGGCGUCCUUUUUUCCUCUUUGGUGCUAAGGAGGCCAGCGUAGGCGAAGAGUACCAAGGCAUCAGGCAAAGGUUGCUAUAUUGGUGCAACGAGACCAAGACCAAGAGGACAGUGAGACGGAGGUCAUCGUGGAGCCCAAGACGACGUCACCACCAGAGCUUUUCGCAGGCGAAGACCGCUUUUGUCAGGAUAGCUUGUACUAGCUGUCCCCCUUCAAAUUUGCCCGCCGUUGUUGGCUCCCUUCCCGCUCGAUAUUUGGGAAGAGGACCAGGGCCACUAUAAAUAGGUCUAGCCACCACAGUAGUAGCCAUCGGAUCCAGGGAUGCCCACAAGCUCGCAUGCACAAGAACACGUCAACCUCAGGAGGCUGUUCUUCCCUUGUACUGUUCAUCAUCAGCCCAAGUGGCAAUCCACCACCACCACACUGCAACGGUGGCCCGAACCAGUAUAAACCUCGUGUCUUUCUGUGUUGCGAGUUCGUCGAGUUCGUCUGCGAGAUCUUAGCGAGCUAGGGCGUAGAUCGGUAGGAGGGAAAGACUUCGCGCGCACCCCAGUGUUCGAACCUUAAGGGUUUGCCGGAACCCCACAUCCGACAUUUGGCGCGCCAGGUAGGGGUGCGCCGGAGCUCCUCUCCACCAACCUACGCCCCGUGCCGCCGCGCUUCGCCCCCAUGGCGGGUGCCCCGCCAUCCACCCCCGUGACCUACGUCGACAGCGGGGCAUCUGGGUACCAAGCCCUGGCCCCCGCCCUGCGCCGAGUGCGGUGGCCGACCAAGUUCAAGCCAGAGAUGCCGCCGCGUUACGACGGCGUGGCAGACCCGACGCUGUUCCUGCUGGCGUAUGAGGAGGCUGUCCUCGAAGCCGGAGGCGACGACAAGAUCAUGGCCAACUGGUUCUCCAUGGCCCUUGCCGGCGAGCUGCGUGCCUGGCUGCUCAACCUCCCAGGAUCCACAGUGGCUUCCUGGGGGGGACUCCGUGACCUCUUCAUCGAUCGCUAAGUGGUGCCAGCGCACAAUGCGGUCGCGGCCCUGCUGGGCGGCUCUCAAGCACCGCCUUCAGAUCGCCACAUCAAACUGUUCCUCCGUCAGAUCGGGGCCGCCUCCAAGCGCCCGGGGGCUCCGCCAGGUUGGGCUGCCCCAGAGGCCGACCUCACCUUCGGCACACGCGACAACUAUCGCACCGAGCUGAUGGACUUCGACAUCGCUCGCAUCGGUCUCCCAUACAACCCCAUCCUCGAGUACCCAGCUCUCGCUCAGUUCAUGGCGGUGACCCAUCCGGCCUACAACCUCAUGAAGAUGCCAGGAAGCAAGGGCGUCCUCACCAUCAAGGGGGACACUAAGGAGGCUAUGACGGCGCUUUAGCUCACCUUCAAGACUGCGGCAGCAGCACAGUCGGCCGACGCCGGUACCCACGAGGCCCGGGAGGCCGCGCCUACCAAGAAGAAGCAGCUGUUCACCUAAGACAAGGCAGAAACCAAGCAGGUGCCGGUCAGCGAGGACAAGUCUUCAGGGGCCACCUUCAUCAUAGGAGCCGGCCUUGACCCGGGACAGGAAGAAGCCUUGGUGAGGUUCUUGCGCGCAAACAAGGAGAUAUUCGCGUGGGAGCCCAAUCAGCUGGUAGGGGUCCUGAGAGAGGUGAUCCAACAUCAUCUAAGGGUAUGCCCCAACAUAUGCCCCGUGAAACAGCGAGCCAGACGGCAGUCCACUGAGAAGCAGGCCUUCAUCGUCCAGGAGACACGUAAGCUGGAGGCGGCAGGCGCCAUUCGGGAAGUUCGAUAUCCCGAAUGGCUGGCAAACCCUGUCGUAGUGCCAAAGAAAGGCGGGAAGGAGCGGAUGUGCGUCGACUUCACAACCUUAACAAAGCCUGCCCCCAAGAUCCGUUCCCACUCCCAUGCAUCGACUAGAUUGUCGACUCCACCGCCGAAUGCGACUUGAUAUGCUUCCUGGACGCGUUCUCAAGGUAUCAUCAAAUCAAGAUGGCGGUGGAAGAUGUGGAGAAGACAACUUUCCUAACACCAUGCGGGGUGUACUGCUACACCUGCAUGCCCUUCGGGCUGCGCAACGCAGGCGCCACCUUCCAGCGGUUGAUGCACAUCGCCCUGGGGCGGCAGCUCGGGAGGAACACAGAGGCCUACGUCGACGACAUAGUGGUAAAGUCUCGCGAGGCGAGGACAUUGAUUCAAGAUUUGGAGGAAACCUUCGAGAGCCUGCGCCGGGUGAACUUGAGGCUUAUCCCGGAGAAGUGCGUGUUCGGUGUCCCCUCCGGCAAGCUGCUCGGAUUCCUCGUGUCCCACAGGGGAAUCGAGGCGAACCCUGAGAAGAUCAAGGCCAUCGAGGACAUGAGCCCGCCGCAGACCCUCAAAGAGAUGCAAAAGCUGGCGGGGCGGGUGACCGCAUUAGGGCGUUUCAUCUCGAAGCUGGGAGAGCGCGCCUUACCCUUCUUCAAGCUCAUGAAGAAGAAAGGCCCGUUCGAAUGGACCCCGGAGGCCAAUCAGGCCUUCCAAGACCUCAAGAAGUACCUUACCAGCCCCCUAGUGAUGGUGGCACCACGGCCACUCGAGCCUCUGGUACUCUAUCUUGCCGCCACCUCGUACUCCGCCAGCGCAGCACUGGUGGCGGUCAGGGAGGAACGCCAAGCCAAGGGCGCGCCGCACCCAGCCGGGGCAGAAGUGGCGCAGGGUCAGGAGGAUGCAGCAAAGGCAUCAGCUGGGGAAGACAAAGCUCGGCAGGACAACGUCGCAGAAGUUCCUGAGGACGGCCGAGUUUCGAGAAACCCUCCACCUCAGGAGAUGCACCGACCUCCGCAGGACCCCAGCCUCGAUAGUGCGCCAGCCCACGUCGAACACCCAGUGUACUUCGUCAGCACCGUGCUGAGAGACGCAAGAGCAUGCUACCCCAUGCCUCAGAAGCUCCUGCUCGCACUCUUGGUGGCCUCGUGCAAGCUGCGGCACUACUUCCAGGGGCACCCGAUCAAGGUCGUCUCAGCUUACCCAUUGGAGAGGGUACUCAGGAGCUCAAAUUCGGCUGGAAGGGUCACUGAGUGGAAUAUCGAGCUGCAAGCAUUCCAGUUAGAGUUCAGCACUACCAGGGUCAUCAAGGGGGCUGUGCUCGCUGACUUUGUGGCAGAAUGGACGGAUGCCCCGACACUUGAGGAAGGGGAGGACCGGUCCACCUCCCCAGGGAGCGAGGCUCCGGACGGCUGGGUCAUGUAUUUCGACGGCGCUUUCGCGCACCAGGGCGCGGGAGCCGGAGCGGUGCUCAUCUCGCCCACCCAGGACAAGCUCUACUAUGACGUGCAACUCUGCUUCCAGCACGGCGAGAAGGUCUCCAACAAUAUCGCAGAAUACGAAGGCCUCAUAGCUGGCCUGAAGGCUGCGGCAGCUCUGGGGGUGAAGCGCCUUACCGUCAGGGGCGACUCGCAACUCCUCGCCAACUUCUCCAACAAGGUGUACGAGCCGAAGGACGAGCACAUGGAGGCCUACCUCGUGGAAGUACGCAAGAUGGAAAAGCAGUUCUCAGGUCUCGAGCUACAGCACGUGCCCCGGGGCACCAACAAAGAAGCCGACGACAUCGCCAGGAGAGCAUCCAAGCGGCUACCACAAGAGCCUGGUGUCUUCGAGGAGUGUCUCUUCAAGCCAUCAGCUACGCCACCCCUUUCAAUCACUACUCAGCCUCGGGAGGAGCUCCCACAGCCUCCGGUCACGGGAGCCCCGGCCUGUGGCCCGACCUUAGGAGCUCGGCUGCUCUUGGCGCUCGAGCCCCAGGAGGAAUGCUGGACUAAGGAAUUCAAGGAGUACCUGACACGCGGGGCGCUACCAGAGAAGGAAGAGGACGCGAAGCGCGUAGCCCGGCAAGCCACGGCAUACUGCAUUCAAGACGGCGAGUUGUACAGGAAACGGCCGAACGACGUCACGCUGCGCUCCAUCUCCAGCGAUCAAGGAAGGGAGCUACUGAUUGACAUACACGGCGGGGACUGCGGGCAUCACUCGUCGUCACAGACCCUCGUCGGCAAGGUGUUCUGCAGUGGAUUAUAUUGGCCUACAGCGCUCAAUGACGCAGCCGAGCUGGUGAAGUCCUGCGAAGCUUGCCAAUUCCAUGCCAAGCAAAUCCAUCAGCCUGCCCAGGGCCUCCAAACCAUCCUUCUCACAUGGUUGUUCGCAGUCUGGGGGCUGGACAUCUUAGGCCCGUUCCCACGGGCGCUAGGGGGCUAUCGCUAUCUCUACGUCGCCAUCGACAAGUUCACCAAGUGGGCGGAAGUGGAAGCCGUCCGUACCAUCCCGGCCGGCUCUGCCGUCAAGUUCAUCAAGGGCCUCGUGAGCCGCUUCGGGGUCCCCAACCGCAUCAUCACAGAUAACGGCUCACAGUUUACUAGUAACCUCUUCAAAACCUACUGUGCUAACCUUGGAACGUAGAUCUGCUAUGCUUCGGUGGCCCACCCCAGGAGCAAUGGUCAGGCUGAGCGCGCCAACGCAGAGGUCCUGAGGGGCCUCAAGACCAGGACCUUCAAGAAGAAGCUGGAGGCCUGCAGCAGGGGCUGGCACGACGAGCUCCAGUCCGUGUUGUGGUCCAUCCGCACCACCGCUACCAAGCCAACGGGCGAGACUCCGUUCUUCCUCGUCUAUGGAGCCGAAGCAGUCCUCCCUCACGAGGUCAAGCAUCGCUCCGCGCGGGUCCUGGCGUUCGAUGAAACGCAGCAGGACGCCAUGCGGGGGAUGGAUCUCGUGCUGGGGGAGGAACGUCGUCGCGAAGCUGCAUUAAGAGCGGCAAGGUACCAGCAAGCGCUGCGGCGUUACCACUGCCGCAACAUGUGCUCCAGGAUGCUCGAGACGGGUGACCUGGUCCUGAGAUGGGUCCUCUCCAGGGAAGGGUUGCACAAGCUUUCACCCAUGUGGGAGGGGCCGUUCAGGGUCGUCCACAUCUCCAGGCCUGGCGCCGUGCGCCUGGAGACGCAAGAAGGGACACCUAUCCAAAACGCCUGGAACAUCCAGCACCUCCGGAAGUUCUACCCAUGAAGCAAGGCCCAGAGCCUAUGAAGCAAGGCCCAGAGCCUGUGAAGAAAGGCCCAGAGCCUGUGAAGAAUCGCCGCUCGUGACACUCUCACAUAAUAAUGAGUUGGGGCUGUACACGCCCCGGAGUCUCAGGAGCGCCGGCCUCAGGCCCUGGGGCUCCCGCCCACGCCUAGUGGCAGCACUUAGCUCCGCGCUGGUGAGAAGACUUGAAGACUAGAUUAGGUGCUGGACGCGGCUUUUCAUUUGCUUUCCAUAGUUGGCUCGCCUUUCCUUAAUCGAAGUUGCUCUUGGUGUUCAUUGCUGAUUUGAUUCCCUAGCCUUUCACUGCAUUUUUCGGCUCUGGUUUGCUCGUGUUCUCUCUCCCGCAUACCUCGCGAGGGGGCUAGGCAAGUGCCCUCGCGAGCAUUUUUCUUCUCUCUGCCUUCUCGCGAGCCACCCUCGUUCGAGCCUGAAAGCCGGCACAUCUCUCCUAAUCCGUGCCCCUCGGGUACCGCGAUACAAAGCGCCAAGUCGAGGCUUAGGUGGACGGCAAAUCUUCUAGCGCACCCCCUAACGAAUUUUUUGCAGUUCCUGAGCAAACGCAGACACCUCGUGAGGGAAAGGGCGUCCCAAACGCACCAGGUUAAGUUAUCUUUGCGCAAAAUAACAACACGGCAUAGGAAUAACACGCACAGUGCAAUAGCCAAAGAACCAUAGUUCGAUACACGCCCCUCUGGGCCCAAACUUGUUUCAUUUCUGAUGCAAGGAAAAAGAGCCAAACAAAGCGGCGUUGUAGCAAUCCGCGGAGGCGGGCCCUUAGCGACGCCCCGAGCCUAGCUAGACCCCUCCCCGCGCUUCACGGAGGCGCGGCGGCGAGAUGACCCGCUGCCUCCUUCGAAGCAGGCGUGGUGGCGCGGCGGCUGGUCGUAGCCACCGCUGCUGGAGCUGUCGCCGGAGGAAGAGCCGCCGUAGCUGGAAGAGACGCGGUCGUCGCCGAGGGCAGGCUCGCCCUCAGCCUUGUCGCGACCGUCACCAAGGCCGAGCACCUCCUCGCCAUCGUUCGUCUCAGGGCAGCACCCGGCGCGACGACCAUCUUCCCCAAACACCCUCACAUAGAGGGUCGAUACAUGGUCAUACUUGAAGUGGAGCGUGCACCGCCUGUCCAGGCCGCGCGCGCGGGCGAACGGCUGCCAGCCGCGGGCCAGGGCUAUGUUGCCCGUGGCGGAAGUCUUGACCGCGACCCAAGAGGCCUUGCUGCAGCAGCCAUCCGCCUACAACCAGAGCCUGCCUGGACCAGGGGUCGGCAGUUCAUCGACAAAGAAGCGUGGAAGCUGGAGCCAGUUGCCGGCCGGGUUCUCCGACCAGACGAAGAACUCCGGCGACACCUCCGCUGAAUGGAAGUGCGGGCGGGGAGGCCGCGCCACCAUUGCGCGCCUCACCUCGUCAACUGGACCGCCAUGGUUGGGACGAUCCCGUCCGCGUGCCGCGGCGCCGCCUCGACGGUGGGCCACGGCGGGGGUCGCGGCGUGCUUGUGCGGACGGCCGCGACCGCGCUUGGGCACCAGGGAACCGGGGCCCUCGCCAGGGGCCUUCCCCUUCUCGGCGGCAGAGAACUUCCUUCGUGGCGCCAUAGGUGGCACUGCAAGCAAUGGAGCGAAGAACAAGCAAGCAAGCGAGGAAGAGAUGGGCGACGGGGGCUCCGCCCCCUCCCCAUUUAUAGCAAGAGAAGGCCAACCAGCGUCCCCCACGAUCGCAGGUAAUGAUGGUUUUCCUUGCAUGUCGUAGGGACUUGUCAAGUCGUGCAGUUGCCGAGGCAGCGUGGGGAAGCGGAGACGCCCACGUCCAAUCAACCGCCACGCGUCAACCGAGGCCGCAGGCUUUUGGGGACCGCAGUGCUCCGAACUUGACCCUUGGCUUCGCCACGAAGCCAAGCCCGAGCGCACCUUGGGCCCGGGGGCUACUGUCGGCGUUCUAGGAACAGGGGUCCCCAGACUUGCCUGCCUGCGGCCCACAGCGUGGCUAAGCCAGCAGGCUCUACGGCCCAUCUUCAUCAGCAAGGCAUCCAAGACCCUCGCGAGGGUCCAGGCGUUGCGAGGCGGACGACGCAAGACCUCCUUUGGAGUGGCCCAGCCAGGCAGGCUCGCGAGGAGCGGAGAUAUCAAGGCGGGGCAAACCUCACGAGGCUCUCGUGACGUGAGCCAUGACUAACGGUGCCAGGCGGGCGCCAGCGCGCGCGGCGUCCUUAUUUCGUCUUUGGUGCUAAGGAGGCUAGCGCAGGCGAAGAGUACCGAGACAUCAGGCAAAGGUUGCUAUAUUGGUGCAACGAGACCAUGACCAAGAGGACGGCGAGACGGAGGUCAUCGUGGAGCCCAAGACGGCGUCACCACCAGAGCUUUUCGCAGGCGAAGACCGCUUUUGUCAGGAUAGCUUGUACUAGCUGUCCCCCUUCAAAUUUGCCCGCCGUUGUUGGCUCCCUUCCCGCUCGAUAUUUGUGAAGAGGACCAGGGCCUCUAUAAAUAGGUCUAGCCAUCACAGUAGUAGCCAUCGGAUCCAGGGACGCGCACAAGCUCGCACGCACAAGAACACCUCAACCUCAGGAGGCUGUUCUUCCCUUGUACAUUUCAUUAUCAGCCCAAGAGGCAAUCCACCACCACCACACUGGAGUAGGGUAUUACACCACAACGGUGGCCCGAACCAGUAUAAACCUCGUGUCUUUCUAUGUUGCGAGUUCGUCGAGUUCGUCUACAAGAUCUUAGCGAGCUAGGGCGUAGAUCGGUAGGAGGGAAAGACUUCGCGCGCAUCCCAAUGUUCGAACCUUAAGGGUUUGCCGGAACCCCACAUCUGACAGCAUAAGUUUUAUGGUGGGUGAAAAAAUUACUGUCGAGCAAUUGAUAGAAAAGUGCGUAAUUAUGAGAAUAUCUAGGCAUGAUCAUGUAUAUAGGCAUCACGUCCACGACAAGUAGACCGACUCUUGCCUGAAUCUACUACUAUUACUCCACACAUCGACCGCUAUCCAGCAUGCAUCUAGAAUAUUAAGUUCAUAAGAACAGAGUAACGAAUUAGGUAAGAUGACAUGAUGUAGAGGGAUAAACUCAUGCAAUAUGAUGUAAACCCCAUCUUUUUAUCCUCGAUGGCAACAAUACAAUACGUGUCGUUUCCCCUAGUGUCACUGUGAUCGAGCACCGCAUGAUUGAACCCAAAGCUAAGCACUUCUCCCAUUGCAAGAAAGAUCAAUCUAGUAGGCCAAACCAAACUUAUAAUUCGAAGAGACUUGCAAAGAUAACCAAUCAUACAUAAAAGAAUUCAGAGAAGAUUCAAAUAUUGUUCAUAGAUAAUCUGGAUCAUAAACCCACAAUUCAUCGGAUCUCGACAAACACACCGCAAAAAGAGUUACAUCAAAUAGAUCUCCAAGAAGAUCGAGGAGAACUUUGAAUUGAGAUCCAAAAGAGAGAGAGAGAAGAAGCCAUCUAGCUAAUAACUAUGGACCCGAAGGUCUGUGGUAAACUACUUACACAUCAUCGGAGAGGCUAUGGUGUUCAUGUACAAGCCCUCCGUGAUCGAUGCCCCCUCCGACAGAGCGCCGAAAAAGGCCCCAAGAUGGGAUCUCACGGGUACAGAAGGUUGCGGCGGUGGAAUUAGAUUUUGGUGGUGCUCCUCGAUGGUUUCGGGGUACGUAGGUAUAUAUAGGAGGAAGAAGUAGGUCGGUGGAGCCACGAGGGGCCCACGAGGGUGGAGGGUGCGCCCAGGGGGGUAGGCGCGCCCCUUGCCUCGUGGCCUCCUCGUAUGUUUCUUGACGUCCACUCCAAGUCCUCUGGAUCACGUUUGUUCCAAAAAUCACACUCCCGAAGGUUUCAUUCCGUUUGGACUCCGUUUGAUAUUCUUUUUCUGCGAAACACUGAAAUAGGCAAAAAAACAGCAAUUUGCACUGGGCCUUGGGUUAAUAGGUUAGUCCCAAAAAUAAUAUAUAAGUGUAUAAAUAAGCCCAUUAAAUAUCCAAAACAGAAUAUAUAAUAGCAUGGAGCAAUAAAAAAUUAUAGAUAUGUUGGAGACAUAUCAGUGUGCUCCCUGGAGCGCACCUACCAGGCUGCGGCGGUCGAGAACCCGUAUGACGAAGGCGCCGUCCACCCCCGGAGCUCAUUCCCAAGAAGAAGAAGAAGAAGAAGAAGCUGCUCCGCCAAGGAUCUCAGGAGGAUGGGACGUCUGACGAUCGUGCCUCAGGCCCUGCGCCCACUAAUGGGGCGCCUUCCCCUCUCACAUAGGAAGGCACGCCCGACGCCCCUCUCCGGUUGGGCUCAGGGGCUCUCCUCUGGAGGACCUCGGACCUUGCCAGCGUCACGAGGGAGGCGUUCGGGCACCAUGUGGAGGCGUGCUUCAACACGCGCUUAUGUGAGGAGAGCGCGGGGUGCGAGGCGCUAGGCGCCAAGGAGUUCAUCACCAAGGCAAUCAAGGAGCUUCAGGAGGCGAGAGCCAUGCAAGGUGAGCAUCUCCCUGCACCACCCGGCGCAGCUCCCUCCCCCGGCGAGGGCAGCGAGCUGCGCGCCCGUGUCAACAUCCCGGGGCUCAACAAGGCCGCGUCUCAGGUGCUCUUCUGGCCGUCCCGUGUUGGCCGGUGUGAGGGCCCCCCUCACAGCUACGUUCGCAUGCCUUUCAGUCUGCUAAGCGUGGCUGCUAUGCACCAGCACCAUGUGCGGGCCGUCCUGGAGGCUCACGAGGCCCGACGCAAGGCGGUCCAGAAGGAGGAGGUGACGAACCCUCGCGAGACCCCUGGGCCUCCGGAGCCUCACGAGGUUCAGGAGCUGGACGGGUCAUGAGGAACGGCUUCUGUGGCACGCGGCUUCAACUACUCCCACACUUCCUCAGCAACAGUGCCAGGUGACACUUUUUUGGUUUGUUUACUCGGGGGCGCCCCUCGGGCUGCAUUAUCCCAAAGCCGUAUGGGUCAGUACCUGUGGCAUGUAUAGUUUUUCGCGUAUAUCAGAACUGGCCUUACCCUCUCAUGAGUUGCUUCAUGUCAUCACCUCCCUAUCCGGUGCUCCGUCGUCAUGAAUGUCACACACCCUUGCAAAGCCGCCUGCAACCGCCUCAUGAUUAAGGACUGACACGGCGUAUGUGCUCAGGUUCGUCCCUGCAACAUCGCUAAACCCAAGUGGCUGAGCUCUGUCUCGCGGGCUAGCUCCCAUGCACGUCACCUCCCAUGGUCCUUGGUGCCUUGUUCUCACAUGAGCUAAUCAAGAGUGGGUAAGUUAGGGCGCACGACCCGGUGCCUCACCGUCGCGGGAUCCGCGUGUCGGUUGUCUUUCUUCAGGAUUUUCGCAUGAGAAGACUGGGCACGGCGUCUGUGCUCGGGUCCGUCCCUGCAGUGUCGACAAACCCAACGGCUGAGCUCUGUCUGGCGGGCCAGCCCCGUUCACGUCACCUCCUGGGGUCAUUGGUGUUUGGCCUUCUCAUGCGAUAUCCUCAGGAGAUUCACUUGGUGCAGGUUACCUAACCAUCUCGCGAGACCCUUGCAAGUGUUCCGAAUCAAAUUCAGGCGCAACCCGCCUUGAGGUAGGGCCUCAUGAGUCCCGCGCUGGCUCACGAGUGCCCAUAUACACCUCCUCCAGUCCUACCGUGCAAGCCACGUGCCAGGACGGGGUUGUACACGCCCUGGAGUCUCCCCUCAGAGGGAGCUCCCACCCACGUACCUGUGGAAGCCCCGUGCUCCGUGCUAGUGGACGACAUGGUCGAGGAGCGGCUAUGCCUGUGGAAGAGUGGAAGCACCAUGAUUCGUGCUGGUGAAUAAACAACUGAGGACAACCUAGCGGCUGUAGUAACCUCAGGAGAGCCACCAGGCUCGUUGCUCAGCCUCACCGCGCCGCUUUCCCCUCGGGAGGGUCGCGCAAGGGGGCUGGGCACGGGGGCUACGCUCAGGUCACCUGUCAUACACCACCUCACCAGGUCCCUUGGGCCUGGUCUUCGCUCGUCCCUCCCGAGCGAAAGCCUGACGAGGAAAGGUAUGGAGAACUGUUCGUACGUCAAGGGGGACCCCUGAGCAUCGCGACUCAGGGGCCUCACUGGGCACGUAGCCCCUCACCCCUUGGUCUCGCCUUGGUGAUCUGGAGGCCCCAACAGCGGUUGAGGUAUGCGCGGGGCCGGGCCCUGCCGACGCAGAACGCUAAAAACAACACUCACGUCUCCUUCCUGAGGGUUGUUCGUACGUCAAGGGGGACCCCUGAGCAUCGUGACUUAGGGGCCUCACCGGUCACGUAGCCCCUCACCCCUUGGUCUCGUCCUGGUGAUCCAGACGCCCCAACGGCGGCUGAGGUAUGUGCGGGCCCGGGCCCUGCUGACGCAGAAUACUAAAGCAAAUGGAAAGGAAAUCGCGAAAUGCUAGAAAAUUAUUACAAAACAUAUUGUCUCUUGAACUCAAAGUAGAAGUUCUCACACCUCCACGAGGCACGGUAAAUGUUACAGGGUUAAAACAGGGGGAAGCGUUGCCUUCGAACCUCUUCUUCAGCCUUCGACGCCGCUGUUGCUCGCCUGGGGAGGCCCGUCAUCAACAACGUCGCCGCCAUCCACGCCACCAGCUAUGGUCGUGGGGUCUACGCAAAGGAUCUUCUUCAGCAGGGCCUCCACCUGCUUCCCCACAGUCUCGGUGGCAGCGUCGUGGAGCUCAGGGGCCACAGGUUCGAGCAGCACGCCAAUGUCGAAGCUGGGGUCCCGAAGGUGGCGGUGGCUGAAGAUGCGCGUCGCGCCCGAGGUAAAAAGCGUGCGAGCCUGAUAACCCACAAGUAUCAGGGAUCAUUUGUAGCCUUCUUCGAUAGAUAAGAGUGUCAAACCCAACGAGGAGCUAAAGGCAGAACAAAUAUUCCAUCAAGUUCUAUCGACCACCGAUACAACUCUACGCACAGUUGCCGUUUGCUUUACCGGAAACAAGUAUGAAACUAGUUUGUAGGAGUGAUGCUAGAACUACUUUGCAAUAAUAAAACUAGAAGUACUUUGCAAGAUAAUAAAAGUUAGGUUUUUAGUAAAAAGGUUAGUGUCAACAAGAAAGUUAUUUGUCCCAAGGCAAUCGAUAACAAGUACCGGUAAUCAUUCUUGUAAUUUUAUAUGAGGGAGAGGCAUGAGCUAACAUACUUUCUCUACUUAUGAUUGGACCCCUAGCAAGCAUCCGCAACUACUAAAGAUCAUUAAGGUCGUGAAACCCAACCAUAGCAUUAAAUAUCAAGUCCUCUUUACUCCCAUACGUCAUACCCCACUUACUCAGGUUGAAGCUUCUGUCACUCUCGCAACCCACCAUAAGCGAACCAUGAACAUAUUGCAACACCCAACAGCGGGGUCCCCUCACGCUUGCGCGAAAAUGGAGGGCACCGUAGGACAGCACCAUAGAUAAAAUAUACAAUCAUACCAACCAAGAUCAUGAUUAACCCACAGGACAAAACAGAUCUACUCAAACAUCAUAGGAUAACCAUAGAUCAUUGGGAAAUAAUAUAUGGAGUUGAGCACCAUGUUUAAAUAGAGAUUACAACAGGGGGAAGAGGUGUUACACCACUUCAUAGAGGGGGAGAAAGUUGGUGUUGAUGGUAGCAAGAUUGUUGAUGUAGAUCGCCGUCCCGAUCUUUGCCCCGGCGACACUCCGGCGCCACCGGAAGCGAGGGGGAGAGAGCCCCCUCCUUCUUCUUCCUCCUUGGCCUCCCCCCUUGAUGGGAGGAGAGUUGACCCUCUGGUCCAUGGUCUCCAAGACGGCGGAGUGGCGGGAGCCCCUCCGAGAUUGGAUCUCCCUCUCUUUUCUCUUCUAUUUCAGGUUUUCCAGAUAUGGCCCUUCACCGUUUCUUAAAUUCCCGGAGAUCCGUAACUCCGAUUGCGCUGGAAUUUUACACUUUUUUUUUGCAUAAAUUAUCUUUCUUGCGCUAGGAGAAGGGCUCCAACCGACCUUCGAGGAGGGCACAAGACACCUGGGCGCGCCAGGGGGUGCCUGGCGUGCCCUGGUGGGUUGUGGGCUUUGUGGGCCCCCGUUUGCGUUAAUUCCACCUCCCAAAAAUCACAUAAAUUCCAAAAUAAAUCUCUGUAAAUUUUUAUCGCGUUUGGACUUCGUUUGAUAUGGAUUUUCUGCGAUACAAAAAACAUGCAACAAACAGGAACUGGCACUGGGCACUGGAUCAAUAGGUUAGUCCAAUAAAUCAUAUAAAAAGUUGCCAAAAAUAUGUGAAAGAUGUAUAAUAUUGGCAUGAAAUAAUAAAAAAUUAUAGAUACGACGGAGACGUAUCAGCAUCCCCAAGCUUAAUUCCUUCUCAUCCUUGAGUAGGUAAAUGAUAAAAAGAUAACUUUUGAUGUGGAAUGCUAGCUAACAUAAACUUGAUCAUAUAUCUAAUCAUCACUACUGCAUGAUGCUGCUAACGCGACACUACGAUCAGAGACCCUUCGACGAAACUAUGUGCGAUGCCACAAUCGCAAACGGUGGUGUAAAAAACCGUCAAAAAAGGUGCAAAACAUUUGCGAUGGAGGAUGCAUCAAACACGGUUCAGAUUUUAGUUGUGUGUGCGAUUCAGGCCACACGGUUAACCCGUUCGAACUGUUUGCGAUGAGGAAGAACAACAGAAACGGGCAGCCAUAUCAAUGUGUGUGCGAUAUACGGCAUACAGUUUGCUCCGAUGAACCAUUUUCUAUUGGGGAGUGCAACAUAAACGGUUAGCCAGAUCAAGGUGUGUGUUAUAUAGGGCAUACGGUUCACUCGGGCGAACUGUUUUUGAUUAGCGAACGCAACAGAAACAGUUCAACUUAACAAGCUGUGUGUGAUACGUGGCAAAUAGCCGACUCGGAUGAACUAUUUGCGAUGAGAAAUUACAACACAGACGGUUAAUACAGUUAGUUCGUGUGCGAUUCUGUGUGUACAAAAAACUUUGAAAAAUGCAAACUAGUUGCUUGCGGUGGCUAGGAAUAUCGCACACGAUGCGUCUGCGAGUACUCGUGUGCGAUGAUUAGUAAGUUACACAGACGUUUCGUUAUGUUAACACUUGUGUAAUAAAUAACACGUGGCAUCGGAUAUGGUAUUCGGGUUGUGUGUGUGCUCCACUUAGUCUUCCCGCGCUCCACAUGGAUGAAUUGUAAAAUCCACGCCUAUUCCCUCACUGGUUUCCCGCCACCAGCUAACGCCUUGCUGCAUAUAACCUAGGCGGCAACGCACCGCCGUGACACUCUACGAAGAUCUAGUCCUCACCCAUCUACCAUUAGUUAUUCCAACCAUGCCAGGCAACGACCAAAGCUUCGACGUCGAGGCCUACCUGCGUUACAUCUUCGGCGAGGAGAACGAGCCAGACCAGGUCGGGGAGCAAGAGAUUCAUCGGCCGGUGCAAGCACCAUGGCCCAUCGGCAGCGAUAUCGGCGUAAUAGUCCUUGGGAGCACAAUCGACAUAUUGCAGAGGAGGUGUGAUGAGCUGUUUGCCAUCCACCGUGCAAAAGAUCCAGAGCUGCUCGGCGGCAUCAUCGACGACCCACCCGAAGAGCCGCCGUCACCAGUGCUCAUCGAGAGCCUGAUGCCCCGCAAGGAAUGGGCAGAGGACCUCUGCGAUUCAGUCAAGAUAAAGGCAGCCUACGGCUUCAUCAUUGCCCGCGGCGGCCGUGUCAACCUCGAUCCCAAUGAUGUGGUGGCCAGGCUCGAGUGCAUCCUUGGCGGAGUUGACAUCCCCGACGAAGUAGAACAUCGCCAACAUGAUAUCUUGAGGAUGCAGGUGAUCAACGGAAUUUGCUACCAGGCCAGAGACAUGGAAAUGGAGCGGUUCCACGGAGUUUUCAUGCGCGCGAUUGCACGCUAUCAAGCUCUUCUGGAAGAGGCCCAGCAGCCCCAAGAGCCUCCUAGCGCCAGCAGCUCCGUAGGCGGAGGCGGGUCCGGACACUCAGAGUGAACAGCCGCAAGGGUGCUAUGCUGAUCAUGGAGUCUGAGAAGACCAUCGUUGGAAGGCCGCCAGCUCAGCUUUUAGCUUAUAUUUUAUUAUAAUUGUAUGCAUAUGUAGGUCGUGAGUGUUCUGGGCCUUGCCGCAUUUGGCAUUUUCAAUCAUCCUUAAUAUGUAAGACAAUUAUUAAGAAUUAUUAACAGUUGCCAUUGUAACUUUGCCUCAACGGCGAGCAGAGCACGCCCAGGGACGCCAGAGCGGAGCGCGCCACGGCCGCCUCAACGACGAGCAACCACGUGGUCAACCUUCUGCCAUCAAUAAAUUUUGACCUUGUUUCUUGUCACAUUGUUGAUUACAACGCAAUAAGUAAUUGCAAAUCUGUUCACACCUAUCAAACUAAUAUGUGUUCACACUUAGCACCAGGCUAUAAAAAAUACCCACUCAAAAAUUACUUCACAGUUCCUCUCCUCAUCACCCAGAAAACUGGUUUUCUCUGUCAAGUCGUUCCGCCAUGACCGGUAGGAGGAGUUUAGGGUGGACAUAUAACCAGGCAGCAAAGACCAAGGCCGCGGAAGCACUAGAGAGGUCCUGCUGUGAAGCCGCAGCAGAUAUGUCCCGGCGCGCCGCAGAGCCCUCGAACAAGCUCUCAUGGGCAUGUGAGGGCUCUCACAAGCGCAUUCGCGGCGUCGGCCAUCGCGACGAGCCGGCGUUCCUGAAGUCCUUCGCCGGCGACGAUGACAUUCUCGCUGGCGUCACUACAGAGCAGGAGCUGGUCGACGGCUUGAUGAAGCUGCUCAAGAUUAGCGAUGCCUCGGUUGACAAGGCAACCGGCCUCGUCAAGCAACUCAUGGAUGACAAUGCGAAGCUCGUCAAGUUGGUCGCCGAGAAGGAGGAGGAGGCCGCCGGCUGGAAGAUGCUGCAUGAGCAGAGCAGUGCCUCGGAGAUCACGCUGAAAGCGGUCGUUGAGGAACUAAUGGGUGGCUUGAAGAAGCUCUGGAUCGAGCGCGAGCAGGAGGUGGAGGAAUCUGUGGCUGCUUUCAAGCAAAGUCAUGAGGAAUUGAAGAAGGAGCUGGAGGAUUUCGCCGCCCGGCGAUCCAUCAACAAGUAGAGAUAGUAGCGACCCAGAUCAUUGUCUGCAAUUUCCUUCUUCUCUUGCCCCCGUGUCUUCCGGGCUUUGCCGCAUGUGGCAUUUUAAAUUAUCCGGAAUAUGUAAGACAAUUAUUAUGUGUGCCAUUGUAAAUUUGUCGUCGUAUUAUCCAUUGCCAUUUUAUUUGUGGUCGUAUUAUCCGUUGCCCUAUGUGGCAAUUUAAAUUAGGGCGGAAUACUAGUUGAAAACACGAACAAAGCAAAUGCUGCCAUGGGAUCACAAGCAAACACCCUCCGUCCAGGUGCUUUAAUUAACCCAUUAAUGGAGAAGUUGUGAGCGAGGCGGGCGGCGGCUGGUGCAUGGAGGUCAAAGAGCUCGCUUCCCGGUGAGCAUGGACGGCCUCGAGGUGGACAGGAUGCACGCGUCCCGUCGAGCCUGCACGGCGGACUGCUCGCACGCAUCCAUCGAACCUGCACGGCGGACUUCUCGCGCUCGUCCCGUCUAAUCAAACAGCUGCACGCACGCCACCGAGUAUGGUUAAAUUUCGACACGGUAAAUAUAAUACAACCGUUUGUGAUAUUAACGUGUCAGUUUUUUUUCAAAAAGGACUUCGUUGGCUACUAAUGUGUGCGCCUCUUCUCAAACUGGAUGCUUUUUUUACCACGGCAUAUAUGUGCCAUGUCAUGAAACCAUGCCAAUUUUCAUGUUUUUUGGGUGACUUUUUUAUUUACUGGGAUUUAAAAACCGAGAUUCUCAUUGUUUCAAGACGACGACAAGUUUGUAAUUCAUUCUCAUUCCUUAAACGAGACCUAAAGAUGCACCCAAUGACACAUGUACAAUUUCCCACCCAUUUUGCUUCACUAGAGCAUGUGGUUGUAGUUCAAAUUUGAAUUAUGGACUACAUUAAAUGCAUAGAAAACUUAGUAAUUAGUAAUAUAUAUACAAUGGCCAAACGAACCCUGAACAGUUUCAAAUUUCAGCCCGACACUCCUGUUAUUCUAUGUUGCCUGUAGAAAACAAAGUUCAAGGCGAGAAGAGGCAUCAAUUAUCGUUUCGCCCACAAGAGGGGCAUGUUUCCCUACUGGAACCACGAGGGUUGCGACAGGCUCCGGUUUGUAAAAGGCUUGUAAUAUAGCUUCGCCCAAAUUGGACAAUUAUAUAUACCAUGUAGUGACACCAUGUCAAGUUUCAUGAGUUCCUGGUGAGUUUUGGAUUUACAGACAUUUAAAAACUGAGAUUCGCAAUGUUUGUGACCAGGCCAGGACGGCGAGACGGUUGAAUUCGUUCCCAUUCGUUCCAUGGGACCUAAACAUGCACCCCAAGGAAUCUUGUAUGUUUUUUCUAGCCAUUUUGGUGCACUGGAGCAUGUAUUUGUAGUUCGGAUUUGAAUGAUGGACAUUAAAUGCCUAGAAAACUCAAUUAAUGAAUAAAAAAGGUCAAACGAACCCUGAAUAAUUUCAAAGUUCAGCGCGAAUCUCCAAUUGUUCCAUGUCGCGUGUAGAAGAAAAUAUGAGGCUAGAAGAGGGGUGAUUAUUGUUUGGCCCACAAGGGGACACGUUUCCCUAUCGAAACCACGAGGGUUCUUGCGAUAGGCUCCGGUUUGUAAGAGGUUUGUAAUAAAGCUUGGCCCAAAUUAGCAAUGUUUUUACCAUGACAUAUAUGUGCCAUGACAUGACACCUUGCCACCUUUGAUGACUUUCUGGUGAGUUUAGGAUUUAUGGGGACUUAAAAACCAAGAUUCGAAAUGUUUGAGGAAGAGCCAGGACACCGGUACGGUUGUAAUUCGUUCCCAUUCCUGGCAUGAGACCUAAACAUGCACCCAAGGACACAUGUAUAAUUUUUCUAGCCAUUUUGGUGUACUGGAGCAUGUAUUUGUAGUUCAGAUUUGAAUUAUGGACAUUAAAUGCCUAGGAAACUCAAUUAGUGUAUAAAAAGGCCAAACGAACCCUGAAUAAGUUUAAAUUUCAGCACAAAUAUCCUGUGGUUCCAUGUUGCCCGUGGAAGAAAAUACAAGGCGAAAAGAGGCAGUGAUUACGUUUCGCCCACAAGGGGAACACGUUUCCCUAUCAGAACCACGAGGCUUCUUUGAGAGAAGCUCCAACUUUUGUAAGAGGUUUGUAAUAAAGCUUGGCCCAAAUUGGAGAAUGUUUUUACCACGACAUAUAUGUGCCAUGACGUGACACCAUGCCAUCUUUGAUGACUUUCUGGUGAGUUUAGGAUUUAUGGGGACUUAAAAACUGAGAUUCAAAAUGUUUGAGUACGAGCCAUGACACCAGUACGGUUGUAAUUUGUUCCCAUUCCUGGCAUGAGACCUAAACAUGCACCCAAGGACACAUGUAUAAUUUUUCUAGCCAUUUUGGUGUACUGGAGCAUGUAUUUGUAGUUCAGAUUUGAAUUAUGGACAUUAAAUGCCAAGGAAACUCAAUUAGUGUAUAAAAAGGCCAAACGAACCCUGAAUAAGUUUAAAUUUCAGCACAAAUAUCCUGUGGUUCCAUGUUGCCCGUGGAAGAAAAUACAAGGCGAAAAGAGGCAGUGAUUACGUUUCGCCCACAAGGGGAACACGUUUCCCUAUCAGAACCACGAGGCUUCUUUGAGAGAAGCUCCAACUUUUGUAAGAGGUUUGUAAUAAAGCUUGGCCCAAAUUGGAGAAUGUUUUUACCACGACAUAUAUGUGCCAUGACGUGACACCAUGCCAUCUUUGAUGACUUUCUAGUGAGUUUAGGAUUUAUGGGGACUUAAAAACUGAGAUUCAAAAUGUUCGAGUACGAGCCAUGACACCAGUACGGUUGUAAUUCGUUCCCAUUCCUGGCAUGUGACCUAAACAUGCACCCAAGGACACAUGUAUAAUUUUUCUAGCCAUUUUGGUGAACUGGAGCAUGUAUUUGUAGUUCAGAUUUGAAUUAUGGACAUUAAAUGCCAAGGAAACUCAAUUAGUGUAUAAAAAGGCCAAACGAACCCUGAAUAAGUUUAAAUUUCAGCACGGAUAUCCUGUCGUUCCAUGUUGCUCGUAGAAGAAAAUACAAGGUGAAAAGAGGCAGUGAUUAUGUUUCGUCCAGAAGGGGGACAAGUUUCCCUAUCGGAACCACGAGGCUUGUUUGAGAGAAGCUACGGUUUGUAAGAGGCUUGUAAUAAAACUUGCGCCACAAUGGACGAAAAAAAUUCCUCGACAUAUAAGUGCUAUGUCGUGACACCAUGGCAGGUUUCAUGAUUUUCAGUUUAGUUUUGGAUUUACGGGGAUUUAAAAACCAAGAUUCUUCUCACGAAAUGUUUUCAAAUAGCACAUGGUUCACUUACGGAAGCCGAUAUUCAAUGAAAACUUCAUGGAAACCAUAUUUUAAAGUUUUAUAAAAAUCUGAAAAAAUGUGGGAUGUUAAGAAGGUGAUGUUUUAUUGCGACACAAAAUUUCAAGUUGAAAAACAUUACGAGAUGUGAGCUAUGAAAAAGACAAAUUCCGCCCUGAAUAGUGACAUUACUAUUCGGCACUAUUCAACGCUGGUUUUAUCUUUUUCAUAGCUCAUAUCUCUUAAUGUGUUUCAACUUGAAAUUUUGUGCACCAAUAAAACAUCAUCCUUUUAACAUCCCGCAUUUUUUUGAAUUUUUUUUAAACUUCAAAACAUCUUUUUCUCAUGGUUUUCACCGGUUUCCACCGAAUGUUGGUUUUCGUAUGAUAUCCCCCCCCCCCGCUGCGCGCGCGAUCUGAGUCCUGUGUUCUGACUGGCCAGAACCCAAACCCCACGGAUCAUACGUGUGCACCGUUGGAUGCUCCCAGAUCGAACGGCAACCCUGAGCCCUUUCGACAUCACAUGCAGUACAUGGGUAAGCAUUGUGCGCAUGCGUCGUGUAGCUCACGCUUCCUUCUCUACUAGGUUUUCAUUCAAAACAGGCUACCGUUUGUCGCCACUCCUCUCAUCGGUUUCCUGCCUCUUCUCCCAGAUAUGCAUGAUCUAGAUGUUCGUUCAAUUCUUAUAGUUCAUCUCAUCCAAAAUCAAUUAGUUUUGUAAAAAAAACUAUUUUAAGAUUCAUGGAAUUGUGCAUUGUAAAGGUAAAAACAAAAAGUGACAAUUCAUUUAGAAAAAAAGGUUUGGGCAAUUAAGAUAUGAAAGAUUCUAGAGAACAAAGGAGAAGUGCUUCUGUUUUGAGGUUUGUGCAUUAUGCUUAAGUUCAACCAUGGAGUCUUCUAGAUUGUACAUGUGGCAGAAUCUGGUAGAAUGUAGAUGAUAUCCAACGGCCAGUAGUGCUAGGAUUUGCCAUCUCUGUACCGUCGGAUUGGCUUCAUCCAACGAGAAACUUUCAUAGUUAUUCACACACUAUAUAUGUGUAUAAAUAUGGAUGUAUAGAUAUAUAUAGAUGUGUCCCAUGCUAGACAAAAUAAAGUUUGAGCGCAUGCGUGGGACGACCCCACCCCCCGCUGCCGCCUCGAAGUUGGGAAACUGACAUCAUAGGUAUUGAACCAGGCUUGGAGUCAGGUACGGUGUUCGGUUUGUAAUGUACUUGGCGUGGCCCAUCGAAGUUGUGCAUUUGGGAUUUAAACACAUCAUACACCAUCGUACCUGUCGUGGAAUUGUCACGGCAGAUGUCCUUGAGUUAGGACUUAGUCGUGGAGCCAUCGCAGCUAGGAAGCUUGAAGGGGUUAAUGCGGGACAAGGAACAUGAGGGUUUAUACUGGUUCGGCCCCUUACGGUGACGGUAAAACCUUACGUCCAGUUUGAUGUGGUAUUGAUUAGGGUUUCGAUAACCAGGGAGCUAAACUGCUAUGCCCGGCUCUCGAUGAGAUUGUUGUCGCCCUUAAACUGCUGCCAGGUAGUCCCUUUAUAUAGGGAGGCUGACGCCCUGCAGCUAUCAGAGUCCCGGCCGGCUCAUAAGAGUGUCCGGCUCGGGCUCUCAACUAUUCUUGCCUUACACUACAAGUUCUACCAUAAUAAUGAUUGUAACUACGGGCCUUAAGCCAUAUCCAGGUCUUAAGCCCAUCUUUGGCCCACCAUCUUUAAGCUUGGUGCCGGGCUUCUGGCAAUGACCAUAUGAGUAACCCGGCCCCUCCUGGCGGGUGACUCUAAGGUCUAUAUCCUCAACAUUAGGCCCCAGAUUGAUUUGAGCCGGCUCAUGUCAAUCUUCAACUCUUUCGACAGAAAAAAUCUCCGGCUUACCAUUCGUGUGAAGGCCAUAACCCGGCGUGACGUCAUCCUCUGGACUCCGGAUAAUCCGCCGUGACGUCAUCUUCCAUUAAGUCCGUUUUUUACUCCGCCAGAUCCGCAACGGAUCUUUUCCUUUACUGUCAUCCCGAAAAUCGAGGCGCUGCGUGGGGAGAUAACCACGCCACGGUCUCCUUGAUUCUCGCGCCCGCUUUACGAGCUCGCCUUAUAAAUAGGCCGGCCCGACGGGCUCUUCUCACGCUCCUUCCUCUGUCGUCUUCUUCCUCUCACUUUCCCGUGCUGCUCGAGCUCCGCCGCCGUCGCCGCCGCGGGUCUCCUCAUCGUUACCAGCUCAGGCCGCUGCAUCACCCUGAUCUGACCAGAGAAACGCGGCGACCCCCGCGACUCUCCAGCUCUUGUAAGUCCUGCUUGUCCUGUAGAGUAGAUCUACCGUAAGAUUCGUCUGCGUUCUUCGUGUUCGUCGCCAUUACCCGCAAGUUCCGGUAGUUAUCAUAGUUACUGCCCCUGUUUGAUCUUAGAUCUGCAUAGAACUAGUGUGGCGACUGUUUAGCACCCAUUUUACACGCAAACAGCUCUCUUUUUACUGCAUAGGAACUUUGUUCGGGCCCAAGAACUCCCUCGCUUCUGUUUCUAGGUCUAGAAAUUUUUCUUUUGCCCGACCAUUUCGAUCCAAAAAAGUUACUGCAAUGUGUGAAACCUGUUUUACCACACUUAGUAAAAAACUGCAAUCAUUGAAUCUUGGCGGUUUACAGUUCCGGCUUAAAGAAACCACGCGCCGUAGAACCUUCCGGCUUAAAGAGAACCAUGCUUCGUAGAAUCCUCCGGCUUAGCUGUGAUAAGGCCGUAGAUAAUCAAUUUAUUCUGAAUGCCCCUGCGGCUUAAAUAACCCGUUGUACUUAGGUAUAUACCAUUAGUCCCCUUCAUAAGCCGCCACCUUAGCUUUGAACUGUAGAUCUCCUCCGGCUUAUCAUUAACCCGGACGUUUUUCCUUUUUGUCAUAGACUGCCGACUUUCACCAUGCCUCCCAAAGCUCCCAUUACUUGUAACUGGAUGAGGUCCAAUGUCACCAACGAGACCCUAGCAGAUUUUGUUAAGUCAGGAUAUCUGCCCAAGAAAGACAUCAUGUCCUACCGUGCCCCUGACCCGUCAGAAGAAAGGCCACAGCCAAAGGAUGGGGAGGUAGUGAUUUUUGCGGAUCACAUGAGCCAGGGUUUCGCACCGCCCGGCUCAAAGUUUUUUAGAGAUGUUCUAAAUUUCUUCGAUUUACGGCCUCAAGACAUAGGACCCAACUCAGUGUCCAACAUCUGCAAUUUCCAAGUCUUCUGCGAGGUUUAUCUUGGAGAAGAGCCUAGUCUGCUGCUCUUCAGAGAGCUUUUUUUACUUAAACCGUCAGAAUGAGUGCGCCAAUGGGAGUUAGGUGGCAUCUCCAUCCAGCGGCGUAGGGACUGCCUUUUCCCUUACACAGAGCCGCCGAGCCACCCAAAGGACUGGAACAUGACUUGGUUCUAUUGCCAAGAUACAUCACCGGCUGAUGAAAGUCCGCUGCCCAGCUUUCGCCCAUCACGUCUGGAGUCAACACACCCACUGUCAGACAAACUGACUCCGGCGAAGCGCCAGCCUCUGCUCCCAACCAUCAACAAGAUCAAGGCUCUCCAGGGAAUGGUCUGAAUGGAAUCGAUCUGGUCCGGGUCUGGAUCUCAUGGCGGGUGAUCCCAUUGAGCUGCCGCCCCGGCUUAAUGUGUGAGUAUACGGGCCGCAAGGACGACCCUCAGAGACACAGCCGCAACGAUCUUCCUGAAGACGUUGCAGAGGAGAUGACCAAGGCUCUCUUAAACGAGAGCCUGGCAGACUGUGGAAGGACCAGGUUAGCCCCCUUCUGCAAGACCAACCCAGCCCCAGCGGUAAGCCGCCAAUCUGAACAUCCUAUCUUCUUCUGUAUAUAACUCUCAUCUGAAUCGUUUAAAGAAAUCACCAUUGUAUUUUUCAGGCUGACGACAAGUUCUGGCGGGUCAAAUAUGACCAUGAGGCGGCCAAGAAGGCCAGAAAGGUGAAGAAAGCCGCCAAGAAAGCCGCCCCUCGCAGGAAAGGAAGCAGGCCUACUGCUUCAGAGCUGAUGCAAUUAAGCGACAGCUCCGAGUCAGAGGUAACCCCUGAGCCUUUAAGUCCUUGCUGUAUUUGUUGUUUGUUGUUGUCCGCCUUAUCAAUACUUGCUCAUUGACAGGAUGACACCGGCGCAAGUAACCCGGUGGUUGAAGAGGUAAUGUCACUUUCCUCCGACUCGGAGCCCUUGCCAAGGCUGAAAGUCCGAAGGGUAACCCGGAAAGUAAGCUUUUCACAUCCCUUAGCUUAUCAAGAUCCUCAAUUUAUUUUGAAGCAACAGGUUCAUGAGAGCCGGCGUCACACCCGGACCAACAAGGACACCGACCUCUCCGCCGGGUUACCUGACACAUCAAGGAAGCGCCGAACUGAGGUUACUUCCCACUUGUACCCUUUUCACCCGUUGGCGGGUGUUAUCCGUCAACCACUCAACUCUUCUGACUCCAAUUAUCAGGAGACCUCCCCCUCUUCGGGCGACUCUAUGCAGUCGAGUCUUCCGGCUUUCAAGACCGCGCCCGGGUAACGAUAAUCACCUCAUGUUGUUCUGAUCUUUACUCAUAUUUUUUGUACUAACCUUUGUUGCUCUUUCAGUGCCCAGGCAAAGCUCACCAAGAGGGUGAAGAAAACCAAGUCGGCCGGAGUGCCGGAUUUGCCUGAGCCGGAGGUGACGGUCCAAGACCCGCCAGCUGCCUCCGCCCCCGAAGCCACCACUCCAAUGGACACGGCGCCUGUAGAAGCUUCUGCUGACCCGGAGGCCUCCGGCUCGGCCCAACCAACAAAUGACCCGGACGUGGUAAUCACCCGGACGGAGUUCGUUGAGCCAGGGAGACCUACCGUACUGGCCAAGUGCUCCGCUAAGGGGGAGUUGCUGCAGCCCCGCCGGGUGAACCUGGACCUCUCCGACUACACCAACCUGAGCAUUGGAGAGCUCGUCUCUGGCUACAUCAGCCAAGUGCACAAGAGCCGGGACGCCGAGGUUGCCAUGGUGACCCAGAUCCAGCAGAAGUCUGAGGUAACAUCCUUUUGUCCUCUUAUUUACUGCUUAGUUACCUGUACCAUGCUAGCCCCCAAGUCGACGACUUAUGACUGAGGAUGUUGUAGACUUAGGUUCCGGCUUACUCCAUUUGAACCGGCAAUAUGUAGAUAGAAAACGUUCAAUAUGCAUUAGCCCCCAAGUGCCAAGUGUCUUUGCUUGGAAAACGCUUGGGACUUUAAAUUUGUAGAGUAAUUGUUCAUGCCAUAACCCGGAAAUUUAUACAGGCUGCUGGCAAGAAGCUGGAGACUGACCUUGCUGAUCUCAUGAGCCGGCUAAAGAUGCAAGAAAUGGAGACCCGGAAGGCAAACGCCAAGUUUGUAUCCAGCAUCGCCGCUCAAGAGAAGCUGAAGACAGAAUUUGAUGCUGAGCGGAAAGCCUGGGCCGAAGAGAAGGCCGCAUUGGUAACCCGGGCUGAACAGGCGGAGAAGACUCUCUCCGAGAAAACCGCUGAGCUCUCCGGCCUAAAGCGCCAGGUUUCCCAGAUGGUGGCCGCCAUCUUCGGUAAGUCGCCUCACCGGCUUUCAUCAAGUUUAAAAUGUUUAUAUCUCAUAACUCAUCCUUGUCGCCGGCUUGUCUGAUUCUGUUAAACAGGUCCCAGAAGUGCCAACCUCAACCAGAGCGUGGUCACCAAGCUGAAGGCCGUGUAUACCCUGGUGGAGCAGCUCUACACCGGGUCACAGCGUGCCUUAGCUGUGGUGGCCCUAUCCAACGAGGUGCCGACUCACCUGGCAGAAGUCCUGCGCCGGCUCGCCGUUCUGCCUCAGCGGAUCCAAGAGCUGCGACGGGCCUCUGCGAGAGCCGGAGCGAUCGCCGCGCUGAGCCGGGCCAAGGCAUUCCUGCCGGAGUUAGACCCGGCGGACAUCGCCCUUGGCAAUCCAAGCCUGAAGGAAGACGGCUCAGCUUUCGAUCAGAAGGACUUCGCAGCUUGCGUGAAGGCUGUACGCCCGGUGGCCACCCUUAUCGGGAACGACACAGAUCUAACCAAGUACCAGCCGGGUUACAACGCGGAGAAUCAGAGGAUUCCAACCCCUCGCUAUGAAGCCCUCACCUUGAUCCCGCCGGCUCGUCAGCACACUUUCGCCCCGGAGAUUGACCCGGCCGGGUUAAUUGACGAGGAAGCCCAAUUCAAAGCUCUCAGUGGCAUCGACUGGAAGUCAUCAACUUUCCAGGUCUUGGGAUCAGCCGGAGGAGAGGAUAGGAACGAGCCGGAGACUUCAACUCAGCAAGCAUCAUAACUCGGCUGGCGGUUUACCAAACAAUGCUCCACCCUUUUAGACUUGAUGAGUUUUGUAAUAGAGUAGGUACAACAGUUUAUCUCUGCCGUGCCAUCGUGCACGUAUUGAAUGUUAAAGUCUUUUGAAGUUGUCUCUUUGAUAUUUCUCCGGGUCAUAAUCAAUCCUUUGUUUUUUCUUAACCUCAAAAGAGGUGCCUUUAAUUAUCCUGCAUAAAAGGGCAAAUCACAAGUCUCGAGGCGGCUUACCGUCCUGAGAAUCAUAAAUUUUAGAUAACCCGGAAUAUGAAUCAAAAAGGACUUGUCUUCAAUGAUAUCCUGAAUACAACCGUAAGAACAUACUUAACGGCCUGCAAGCAUACUUCCGGUUUAGAUAAUCCGGAUGAGAAAGUUGGUACCGCAACUCCGGUUUACCUGCCUUAUAACACCCAUUGCGUUUAGCAAUACUGUAAACCAAAGUUAAGCCGGCAAAGUGAAACCCGGCUGUACACACCUUGACAUAAUCAAAGAAAACUUGUGAUAAAGCAGAAAAACUUAGGGGCUUCCGGUUCGAAUACGACCAGAGACCUGGCCCAAAGGGGUUAAGCUAAGAUUCGGAUACGAUCACAUAGCCCCCAGUGGGUGUGGCGAUGCCAAUCAAGAGGGUACCGACAGCUAUGUUCUCUUUGGUUCGAAUACGACCCAUGUUUGAACAGGAAGCCCCCAAGUGAUUUUAAGAAUUGUUUAACGACGCUGAUUCGAAUACGAUCCACGUCGGUUCUCAGAGGGGUUAAACGAUGAUUCAAAUAUGACCAAAGGUAACCUCCCAAUGAGCUCGGCACUUUGCCAAUCAAAUGGGUAUCGACAGCUAUGUUCUCUUUGGUUCGAAUACGACCCAUGUUUGAACAGGAAGCCCCCAAGUGACUUUAUUGCUUACGGCUAAAUUCGAAUACGAUCAUAAGCCGGAUCCUCCUUUAAGUCAUCAUGUAAUCUUGCAAAAAUAACACACGCAUAUUUGGAGGAGAAAAAAGGACAGAGGUCCUGCUUUAUUGCUUAUCAUAAUAUAUACAGGGCUGAGAGAAAUAUGUACACCACGAGAGCCGGUGGCUCAAGUGUAGUAAGGCCGAAGCUGAGCUAUGUUCCACAGCCGACGGGUCUCUUCCUCCGACUUACGUGAAUCUUUAUGCUCCCGAAUGUCAAUGAGGUAAUAUGACCCGUUGUGCAAGUUCUUGCUGACCACAAAGGGCCCUUCCCAAGGCGGGGAUAACUUGUGUACAUCUGUUUGAUCCUGGAUGAGCCGGAGCACGAGAUCGCCUUCCUGGAAGACUCGGGAUUUGACCCGGCGGCUAUGAUAACGGCGCAGGUCUUGUUGGUAAAUCGCUGAACGGGCUGCUGCCACAUCACGCUGUUCGUCCAACAAGUCAAGAGCAUCUUGGCGCGCCUGUUCAUUAUCCGUCUCAACAUAAGCCGCCACUCGAGGUGAGUCAUGACGGAUGUCACUGGGAAGGACUGCUUCUGCCCCAUAAACCAUAAAGAAAGGCGUGAAGCCUGUAGACCUGUUAGGAGUAGUGUUGAUGCUCCACAACACGGAGGGCAACUCCUCCACCCAACAACCCGGCGUCCGUUGCAAAGGGACCAAAAGCCGGGGCUUGAUUCCCUUCAGAAUCUCCUGAUUAGCUCUCUCGGCUUGACCAUUGGAUUGAGGAUGAGCCACUGAGGAAACAUCAAGUCGGAUAUGCUCUCGUUGACAAAACUCUUCCAUGGCGCAUUUGGAGAGAUUGGUGCCGUUGUCAGUUAUAAUGCUGUGCGGAAAGCCAAAGCGGAAAAUCACCUUUUUCAUAAAUUGAACCGCCGUGGCUGCAUCGCACUUGCUAACUGGCUCAGCUUCCACCCACUUUGUGAACUUGUCAACUGCCACCAAAAGGUGGGUCUUCUUAUCCUUGGACCUUUUGAAAGGCCCAACCAUAUCAAGCCCCCAGACCGCAAAGGGCCAAGUGAUUGGGAUCAUCCUCAGCUCCUGAGCCGGCACAUGAGCCCGUCAAAGUGGAUAGUCCAAUAUGUGUUAUCCGGCUUCUGCUCGGGCACUUGUGACUCUGUCCAAUCAUUGAUGAAAUCCACCAAGGCCUGAGAUUUAACAGCAGUGCGUGGCACGUACUUGAGACCAUGAGGCCCAAGCUCUAUAGCCCACUUAGCUACUCUCCCUGUGGCCUCUCUGUUUUGAAUGAUAUCACCAAGAGAGGCAGAACUGACCACAGUGAUGGGAUGACCCUGAAAAUAAUGCUUAAGUUUCCGGCUUGCCAUGAACACACCAUAAACAAGCUUCUGCCAAUGCGGAUAUCGCUGCUUGGACUCAAUGAGCACUUCGCUGACAUAAUAAACCGGCCGCUGAACCGGAUGCUCCUUACCCUCCUCCUUGCGCUCCACCACCAUAGCCACACUGACGGCUCGUGUGUUCGCCGCCACAUAUAAUAAUAAGGGCUCCUUAUCAACCGGAGCAGCAAGGACUGGAGGCUCUGCCAGCUGCUUCUUCAAAUCCUCAAAGGCAGUAUCAGCCGCAUCAUUCCAGACAAAGUUAUCAGUUUUCUUCAUCAACUGAUAUAAAGGCAUGGCCUUCUCACCCAAACGGCUUAUGAACCGGCUUAAAGCAGCGAUGCGACCCUCCAAGCGCUGAACGUCAUUUAUACACGCCGGCUUAGCUAGGGAGGUGAUGGCCUUGAUCUUCUCCGGGUUAGCUUCAAUGCCUCUGUCAGAAACCAAAAAACCCAAGAGUUUGCCUGCAGGAACACCAAAAACACACUUCGCUGGGUUAAGCAUCAUCUUGUAGACCCGGAGGUUAUCAAAGGUCUCCCUUAAAUCAUCUAUCAGGGUGUCCUCUUUUAUGGACUUAACCACAAUAUCGUCCACAUAAGCGUGAACAUUGCGCCCAAUCUGUUUAUGAAGACAGUUCUGUACACAACGCUGGUAAGUCGCCUGUGCACACUUGAGUCCAAAGGGCAUAGACACAUAGCAGAAGGCUCCAAAGGGAGUGAUGAACGCCAUCUUCUCCUGGUCCUUAACUGCCAUCUUAAUCUGAUGAUAUCCAGAAUAAGCAUCCAAGAAACUUAAACGUGCACAACCUGCCGUAGCAUCAAUGAUUUGAUCAAUACAGGGGAGGGCAAAAGGAUCAGGCGGACACGCCUUGUUUAAGUCCGUGUAGUCCACACACAUCCGCCAGGUGCCGUUCUUCUUGAGUACGAGCACCGGGUUAGCCAACCACUCUGGGUGAAAAACUUCAACAAUAAACCCGGCCGCCAAGAGCCGGGCCACCUCUUCACCAAUGGCCUUCCGCCUCUCUUCAUUAAACCGCCGAAGGAACUGCCUGACCGGCUUAAAUUUCGGAUCAGCGUUGAGAGUGUGCUCAGCGAGUUCUCUAGGUACACCUGGCAUGUCAGAAGGUUUCCAUGCAAAGAUGUCCCUAUUCUCAUGGAUGAACUCGAUGAGCGCGCCUUCCUAUUUUGGAUCCAGAUUGGCACUGAUGCUAAAUUGCUGAGAUGAGUCUCCUGGAACGAAAUCAACAAGUUUAGUCUCAUCAGCUGACUUAAAUUUCAUCGCCGGCUCCUGCUCCGUAGUCGGCUUUUUCAGAGAGGUCAUAUCAGUUGGGUCAACAUUGUCCUUGUAAAACUUCAACUCCUUUGUUGCACAAACAGAUUCUGCAUAAGCUGCAUCGCCUUCCUCACACUCCAGGGCCACUUUCCGGCUGCCGUGAACCGUAAUGGUCCCGUUAUGACCCGGCAUCUUGAGCUGUAAGUACACAUAACACGGCCGAGCCAUGAACUUGGCGUAAGCCGGCCGCCCAAAUAUAGCAUGGUACGGGCUUCUUAUCUUAACCACCUCAAAGGUCAAUUUCUCCACCUUGUAGUUGUUCUCAUCUCCAAAGGCUACUUCCAAUUCGAUCUUGCCGACUGGAUAAGCUGACUUACCAGGUACCACACCAUGGAAGAUAGUGUUUGACUGGCUGAGGUUUUUAUCAACCAACCCCAUACGGCGGAAAGUCUCAUAAUAGAGGAUGUUGAUGCUGCUGCCUCCAUCCAUGAGCACCUUUGUGAACUUAUAUCCUCCCACUUGAGGAGCCACCACCAGGGCCAAGUGACCCAAAUUAUCCACCCGUGGAGGGUGAUCCUCCCUGCUCCACACUAUAGGCUGCUCAGACCACCGCAAGUAGCGUGGGACCGCCGGCUCAACAGCAUUCACUGCCCUCUUAUGAAGCUUCUGAUCUCGCUUACACAGACUGGUGGUAAACACAUGAUACUGUCCACUGCUAAGAUGCUUUGGAUUGGUCUGAUAACCCCCCUGCUGCUGCUGAUGACCCUGGCCAGGCUGCUGAUUAAAGCCCCCUUGACCGUUCUGAGGACCGGAAUUUGAGCCACCGCCCGGGCCAUGAAAACCGCCGGCGCCUGAGCCGCCGCCCGGGCCAUUGUAAUUCUUAAAGGCCUUCAUGAUUGCACAAUCCUUCCACAGAUGAGUCGCUGGCUUCUCUCUAGAGCCAUGCCUUGGACAAGGUUCAUUCAACAGCUGCUCCAGCGUCGGACCUGACCCGCCGCCUCGGGGAGGGGGCCUCCCCUUGCGUCGCUGGUUAUUACCUUGUGAGCUGGCGUUGGCUACAAACUCUAGGCUGCCAUCAGCCUUGCGCUUGCCUCCUCCUUGGUUUCCCGGGUUAAACUGAGGACCCUUGCCAUUGCCGUUCUUCUUUCCCUUCCCUGUCCUUUCAUCAUCUGAAGGGGGAUCCUUGGUACCAUCAGAAUCGGCGUACUUGACAAGAGCCGCCAUUAGUGUACCCAUAUCACUGCAGUCGCGCUUAAGCCGCCCGAGUUUCAUCUUCAGGGGCACAAAACGACAAUUCUGCUCCAGCAUUAAAACCGCUGAGCCGGCAUCCAUCUUGUCUGACGAGUGUAUGAUCUCCUUAACCCGGCGAACCCAAUGGGUCAUAGACUCACCCUCCUGCUGCUUACAGUUAGUCAAAUCCACAAUUGACAUAGACUUCCUACAGGUAUCUUUGAAGUUUUGGAUGAACCGGGCUUUCAGCUCAGCCCAAGACCCAAUGGAAUUCGGUGGUAGCCCUUUCAACCAAGUGCGGGCAGUUCCAUCUAACAUCAUGGUGAAAUACUUAGCCAUGGCCGCCUCACUAACCUCCAGCAGCUCCAUAGCCAUCUCAUAACUCUCGAUCCAGGCCGCAGGCUGUAAGUCUGCUGUGUAAUUAGGCACCUUCCUAGGGCCUUUGAAGUCCUUGGGUAGACGCUCAUUGCGGAUAGCUGGUACUAAACAAGGGACACCCCCAGUCCUGGUGGGGAUACCCACGUCGACGGAAGUCGUCGGAUAAGCCGGGGGGGUCUGGUAAGCCGUCAAUUGAGGCACUUGCUCCGCCUCUUGCCGCGCUCUGUCCUGAUCUGCAGCGUGAAAGGCUCCGUUAUAAGCCGGCCCAUGGCCAGGGGGCGGGUCAUGGCGUCGGACGUUACUUGAGCCGGUUGCUGAGACCAUGUGCCGGCUGUAACUCGGGCUCUGGCCCGGACGAGGGGUUGAGUGGAUCCUAUCCCGGCUGUAGGAGUACGCCUCUUGCUGCGCCAGUGCCGUCUGAAGGAGUUCCCUGACCCGGCGGGUUUCAAUAGCCGUCGGAGAGUCGCCGUCAACUGGGAGAGCCGCCAGCCGUGCUGCCGCAGGGACCAUGUUCUCCAGUGGGUUAUUAUAAUGACCCGGGGGUAUUGGCACGUACUGAAGCGGGGCAGGGGGCACCUAGGGAGGCCCCAUCACUCGUGGCUGAAUAGGGGUUCCAGACCCGGGCACUAUGACUUACUAGACCCUGCUCCUGGCGUGUUGAAGAGGUUGCGUGGAUCGUAAACUGGAGGGAGUCGAGAUUGGGCCUUUUGAUGCCUCCUUCUCAUGACCUCAUUGGACGCGUUCUGAUCCAUCGUGAGUUGGAAGGACUGCGCCUGGAUCAACUGAGUUUGGGCAUCGAGAGCCGCCCUCUCUGCAGCCAUCCUGAUCCCUUCCGCCGCAAGCUCCUCCUUAGCUUUCACUAGAUCCAAUUUUAACUGUGCCACCUCCGCAUCAUGCUGAGCCUGAUCCGCCGGGUCAACCGUGGCGGUUAACAGGGUCGUCAUCUUGUCCGUGAGAUCCAUCAGCACCUGAGCCGGAGAAGGCACCGGGUUUCCCGCUCCAGCAGCGGGGUUCUGAACAGGCUGCGCGCUAGCCAUAAAGACUCCAACCUGACUUGGCGGCUCAAACGGGUCCGGAAUACUGUCACCGUCGGAACAACCCAUGAGCCUGCCAUCUUGAAGCUGAUACAACGAGUUUGACUCAUCGGUGGCCGACUCGCCGUCAGAGCCGGCGGCCACCUCAUCACCGGACCCAGAUGGAUCAGAGGGCCCUCCAUGGAUACAUCCCACAAAAGCGCGCCUUACGGCAGGCCGGGCCCGGGCGGGUCGCGCACGCUGAGCCGUCUCGACGAGAUCGGCGCAGAGACCCGGCUCAGGGCCCGGCUCACCAAUCUUGCCAAUGAAAACAUGAAUCCCGCCGAAGGGGACCCGGUACCCGUACUCAAUUGAGCCGGCGUCGGGGCCCCAGUCUGCAUCGUCGAUGUAGAGCUUGCCGCGACGACUCUUGGUCAUCCGGCCCACAACGUAUCCCUUGAGCCCUUCGAAGCUGCCCUUCAAGAACUCAAAUCCACCAUGCGCUGUCCCCACGGUGGGCGCCAACUGUCGUGGAAUUGUCACGGCAGAUGUCCUUGAGUUAGGACUUAGUCGUGGAGCCAUCGCAACUAGGAAGCUUGAAGGGGUUAAUGCGGGACAAGGAACAUGAGGGUUUAUACUGGUUCGGCCCCUUACGGUGAAGGUAAAAGCCUACGUCCAGUUUGAUGUGGUAUUGAUUAGGGUUUCGAUAACCAGGGAGCUAAACUGCUAUGCCCGGCUCUCGAUGAGAUUGUUGUCGCCCUUAAACUGCUGCCGGGUCGUCCCUUUAUAUAGGGAGGCUGACGCCCUGCAGCUCUCAGAGUCCCGGCCGGCUCAUAAGAGUGUCCGGCUCGGACUCUCAACUAUUCUUGCCUUACACUACAAGUUCUACCAUAAUAAUGAUUGUAACUACGGGCCUUAAGCCAUAUCCGGGUCUUAAGCCCAUCUUUGGCCCACCGUCUUUAAGCUUGGCGCCGGGCUUCUGGCAAUGACCAUAUGAGUAACCCGGCCCCUCCUGGCGGGUGACUCUAAGGUCUAUAUCCUCAACAGUACCCAUACAUAUUUUCGGGCCGUAUGCAGUGUAUACGGGGUCUUUUGAUCGACCACGUCUCCCUUGUGCGGUUUUUUGUGAUGCCACAGAUAUCUGUGGUCUCCCCGAGUGUAUAUAUAUCAUCCCUUUGACCGAUAAUGAGGGGUAUGGGUUGGCCAUGAAUGGAUUCCUCCUAGUUCAUGUUAGGGACGGUCACCGUCAAAUGUUGGUCAACCAAAGCUCGAGCUCAUGCGUUGUCAGGAUUCCCUCCCAGAUGCUCGGAUUGCUGGGUUCUACCUACAUCAAACCCUGCAUACGUAUCUCGUCCUUAACUACCUUGCCUUCAUGGUUGUUGUUUUUUGAAUAUUUACUGUGAGGCAAAGCCCCACAGUGCCUUCAUGGUUGUUGUCUGUAUCGAGAGGUAGGCACCACAUCUAAAUUGUACAUUAUUCUAUUGAAAACACACAUCACCCCUUCCCAACGUACAUCAUUUUGGGCCGCAUGCAAGAGGUGUUGGUUUUGUGGUCCCUCUCGUGCGAUGUUUAUGAUGGUUCAAUCUAUUGGCCCAAGCGGUUUAUCGACAACAACAACUGUCAUUUGACCAAACGAAAGAUUCAUUGGUCCGUCUUAUGGUAGGUCAUGGCGACAUGCAUGUAUGACCAAAGUAUCGAUCAUUACGUGCAUCUGCCCCGCUGACACGAAGUGGGAGGUGGUGGGCCAAGCAUCCUAGCUAGGUACGACAUUAUGUCAUUAUAUAUAUCCUAGCUAGGUGGUUGUUAGGAUGCCUUCGGGUUUGCGAGGCAGGUGCCACCAAAGUUAUGCAUUGUGUAUUUAAAGUUUUUAAACAUCCCCAAUAUUCGUACAUAUAUUUGGCCACUUCCAAGUGGUUCUUGACUUCUGGCCCCUGUCAUCGAUCUUCAAUGACGCGCCCAACCGUGGGCCCACGGGGUCAAAGUUGUGCAUUGGAAUUUUGAACAUCACAUACCACCCUUUUCACUCAUAUAUAUUUGGGCCACAUGCUGGUGUGGCUGUCUUUUGACCCUCCCUAAUGUUAUUUUUUGCUGCAAAGACUUUGAUGAUCCUCAACGGACACGGGGUAUAAUAUCUAAACCGUGUGCGAUACAAGUACGAUGUGAAUCACCACGACCGCGCAAGCGCGAGCAAAUUAAGGUGGAGGUACUGGCUCAACCGUGUGCGAUGCAAGUGCGCUGAAAUCACCACGACCGUGCACGCGAGCUAAGGGUGGAGGUACUGGCUCAACCGUGUGCGAUGCAAGUGCGCUGAAAUCACCACGACCGCGCAAGCACGAGCAAAGGGUGGAGGUACUGGCUUAACCGUGUGUGAUUCAAGUGCGCUGUAAAACCACCACCUGUGGAAGCUAAAGGCGGGUAAGUUUAUUUGGAAACUAGGACGAACCAUGUGCGAUAGACCAGCUAGCUAGAAAUAUAAAAAACAAACUACCCGCCUUGAGCGUUGCAAAAAUCGGCGGAUCCGCGCCACUUUUCCUUAUUAUCAUACACGCAUAUUGUUAUUGGACCGUGCGCGGUCUUGGGCACUCCCGCCCGGCAUCAAUUCCUUUACCCAAAUUUUAGUAGCCUUCGUACUUCAACCGUCGCCCACACUCCUCCAGCAUCGACCUUAUAGUAAAAUUGCAGUAGCCGAGGCAUUUGAACCGUCGCGCUCCCUCAUCCACCACCAUCUCCACCCACCAUUACUAAAAAUUUCAGUAGCUGCGGCGUAUCCUCAAACACCCCCCUCCACAUCCCCCACCCGCCACCUCCCCCCUUCGAACCCUAGCUCGCGACCGCCGCCAACCCUGCCGGUCUGCCCGUUCCUCCUAGCUUAGAUAAUAAAGUUCAGGUUAUCCAGCGAUUCCCAUACCGUCGCCCCACUCCCCUGAGUUUUUAGAAGAGGCAUGCGGUGUCCCUUCCUGCCAGAUCCACAUCCCCAGCUCCAGAAUGUCGCAGCCUAAGCUCGGCCACGUAUCCCGGGGAGCCCGACGAGCGUUCGGCCAAGAAGAGGUUUAUCAUGGCCUCUCCGGCGGACGUUGACGAGGUGGCCGUCGUUCGCCCCGACCUGUCGAUCCCAGAGCAACACGUCGCUGUGGAAGCCGGCGAAGACGUUAACUACGUCGCCAUGCCGAAGGCUUCAUGUCAGCGGGCUAGCGUAUUACUGUAUCUCGGGAAAGUUGGCUACGACAUCAAGCUCAUCCACACCGACGGCUUCACGUGGGCCAUGUCACAGGUUAAGUGGUCCAUCCCCAACCCCUCUAGUUCAACCGCCGUUCAUCUCUUCAACGGCCCUGCCGCUGAUCUCCUCCGCUAAGCGGUCAAGGAUUUGCGAGCUUUAUACGCCAUCGAGCCCAUUUUGUCACUUCUGAAGGACACGUUCUACGGCGGCGGCUUGGGAUCCUCAAUUGCCAAGUCAGAUCUCAUCGACCACGACCACGACCACGACCACGAGGAGGGCACCCACGAAGGUUCUUCCAAGGUGAAACAUCCCAUCUGUGACAUCAGAGAGCGCACCAUGGGUCUGUGCUCUUCCAACUGGAAGGAUCCCGUCCAUGAAAUGUGAGGCAACAUUCUAUCAGCAAAUAUUACCUUUUCUAGCUUGCCAACCCGUACCCUUUGUUGUAGUAGCAUUUGUCAUGUGGUGCUUUAACUGUGCCAUGUUUAAUUAUUCCAGUUAUGCAAAAAUGUAUUGUUCAAUAGGUCUAUGUGAUGUUUAAGUAUGAAUUGUCCACUUUAGUUUCACGAAUGGCUAUAUUUGGUUGUUUAUAGUGAGUAGAUGCCUUGUUUAUCUGUAUUUGGUUGUUAGGUUGGUUGGAGUGAUAUUUUUUUUCAGUUAUCGAGCAGAUGCCUUGUUUAUCUGUAUUUGGUUCUUAGUUUGGUUGCAGUGAGUAUUUGUCCAGUUAUCAAGCAGAUGCCUUGUUUAUCUAUAUUUGGUUGUUAGGUUGCUUUUUUAGCAUUUGUCUAGUUAUCAAGCAGAUGCCUUGUUUAUCUGUAUUUGGUUGUUAGGUUGCUUUUUUUAGCAUUUCCCCAGUUAUCAAGCAGAUGCCUUGUUUAUCUUUAUCUGCUUGUUAGGUUGGUUGCAGUGAGCAUUUGUCCAGUUUUCAAGCAUAUGCCCUGUUUAUCUGCAUUUACUUGUUAGGUUGGUUGCAGUGAGACUCUGUCCAAUUUUCAAUGGCUCUACUUGGUUGUUAUACUGGUCAUUUAUGCCUUGUUUAUUUUAGUCAUUCACAAUGUGUGGUUCAUUAUGUGCAAGUCGGAACUGUGCCGCUCGACUACAUCAAUACCAGUUUGAACGGCUAUAUUUGGUUUCAGUUAUUCCUGGUGUAGUUAACACAUGCCCUUUAUUUCAGUUUUACACAUUUAUCUAGUGUGAUGUUUAAGCAUUACCUACGUUCUAUUCAUUUUCAACAAUAACAAUUUGAAUUGCAAUAUUUGAUGGCUGUUAAGCCUGCUGUCGGUAACAUUGCCUUCCAUUUUAUAUCUGCUUUAACAGCAUGCUGAAAGCAACACAUUCAAGCUGUCAUUUGGAGAUGAUGUUGUUUACCUUUGCUAUAUUUGUUUGAUGUUAAGAUUGCUGUACUUAUCAUGCCUUUCCAUUACUUAUGCAGGACAACAACGGGAGUGGCCACCAUUUUCCGCCGAGGUUAGCUUCAUCCCUCGGCUUGUACUCCCCCCGUCGUUCUAUAAUGUAGUGCAUAUAGAUCCAGGCCUGGACACUAGUUAGCUUCUAAUAUUGACUUGUUGCUUGUAGGUACAUAUGCCCUUGGCAAGGAUCCACGCAUCGACCCUUUUUGCGUAUGGGGCAAUGAGAUAUUGAUGAACAAGCAUCAAGUGAGGAAACUGAUAAGGAUUAUUAGCAAAAGGAUACGAAUGGUGGCAAGCAAAUUAUUUGUUUAUGCUCUAUCCAACACAACAGUGAGCUGUAGGAUGGUAACUACAAACUCUGCAGCCUUCUCUUUUUACUACCCAUAAUGAGUUGUUAGACAGCAAUGUCUGAAUCUUUUUCGUUCCCAGUGGUUCUCGAAGCAGUUCACUCAAGAUUACUUCGCAAAGUACAUGAUUGGUGGACACGCAAUGAAGGUUAAAGUAUUUCAUCCAGACUACAAUGAGCAUCGAGAAGUCCUAAUGAAGACAAUGAAGGAAGGACGGGCAGCCAUCACAAGGGGUUGGCCUAGAGUCGUGCGCGCCUUGCGCAUGGAGGAGGGCACAAUAUGGGCAUUCCGCUUCACCUUCUCGAGCAACCAGAAUGUCUUUCGCCUCUCUCUUUACAGUCUUUAGUACAACUUUGGUUCAUCAUUCUUUACUUGGUGCUUCUGUAGUUCUUCAGUAUAUGUACCAGUGCAUUGAAUUAUGGAUUCGUGGUUGAACCUAUAUUUGUAAUAAACAUGGUUGGAUAUGAAAUAAGUGAUUGCCUACUUUCAAAUUCAUAACAUGUGAUUUUUAAAUUAGGGAUUAAUUGGAUUAAUUAUGGAUUAAAUAGGGAUUACACUGCACACGCUUUGCGAAAGCGAAACGUCUGCGAUAUACGUGGAGAUCAGAAACGUUUCUAGGAUCCACUACGUGUGCGAUCAAUCCCCACUCCACACACGACCUUCUCUUGAAAACUGUUUGCGUUAGGCCACCUUGCGCAAAUGUUUAUCACAUAAAAAGUGUGUGUGAUGGACAGCCUUUGCCACACAGUUUCUUUCUACGCACCGUGUGUGAUGCAUUCAAUAACGCAAACGAUAAAAUUAUUAAUAUCGUGUGCAAUGGCAAUGCUAUCACAAACGAUUUAACAGGAAAAAUUGUGUGUGAUGUACCUGUGAACAGAAACGUUUUCCUUGGAGCAACUGUGUGGGAUGUACAUACGAACGGAAACGUUUAGCCGGGACUGACUGUGUGGGAUGUACUUGCGACCGGAAACAAUUUCGCCGUAUAAAUGUAUUUUUUUAGCUUUAUUGUACGUAUUUCCGUAUUUGAGCGCUCGCCGGUCGCACACGACCUCAUUUUGCCGAACGUGUGUGCCAGGAGGGCAUAUCCCCGACGGUUUCUGGGUCGUGUGGGAAGGGCCCCCCCUAUCGCCCACACUCACUUGGCGACGGUUCCAGAUGCCGUCGCGGAAAGGGGUUAAAAACCAUUUGCUUAGGACCGACGCGCACCAGUGCAUGGCAUGAAUAUUAAGACAUAAGUGAUUCAAAGCAAUAGUCUAUAAUUUGACAUAAAGACAUCAAUACUGAGGCAUCCCAACAAACAAUCAUUUCUUUCAAAAUAUUAACGCUAAAGAAAGCUAUCCCUACAAAAUCAUACAAUCUUGUCAUGCUUUGUCUUCUUAACACAAAGUAUUUAUCAUGCACAACCCCGAUGAUAAGCCGAACAAUUGGUUCAUACUUUUUAACGUGCUUCAUCUUUUUCAACUCUCACGCAAUACAUGAGCGCAAGCCAUGUAUAUAGCACUACGGGUGGAAUAGAGUAAGAUGAUAGGGGUAAAUAUAAAGAAGACACAAAAGUAAGAAAGUCUCACAUCGACGCGGCUAACCAAUGGGCUAUGGAGAUGCCCAUCAAUUGAUAUCAACGUGAGGAGUAGGGAUUGCCAUGCAACGAAUGCACUAAGAGCUAUAAGUGUAUGAAAGCUCAAUAUGAAAACUAAGUGGGUGUGCAUCUGAUCCUAUAAUGAAAAAUUCCCACUAGUAUAUGACAUUGACAACAUAGGAGACUCUCCAUAUGAAAAACAUGGUGCUACUUUGAAGCACAAGUGUGGUAAAGGAUACUAACAAUGCCCCUUCUCUCUUUAUUUAUUUUUUUUCUUUUUUUCUUUAUUUUUUCCUUUUCUUUUUCUCUCAUUGUCCGGAGUCUCAUCCCGACUUGUGGGAGAAUCAUAGUCUCCAUCAUCCUUUCCUCACCGGGGAACUGCUCUAAAAAUGAAUAAUGAUGAUCAUCACACUUCUCUUUACUUAUAACCCAAAAGAAAAAAAAAUUACAACUCGAUACCUAUGAAAAAGUAUGACUCUAUAUGAAUGCCUCUGGCAAUGUACCAGGAUGUGCAAUGAUCUAGCAUAACAUGUAUGAAAAAUGAUGAACAGUGGCUGAGCCACACCUACUAUGUCAGUUAUAUGAUCAUGCAAAGCAAUAUGAGAAUGAAUGCUCAAGUCAUCGAACGGAAGCGGUGGAAGUUGCAUGGCAAUAUAUCUCGGAAUGGCCAUGGAAAAGCCAUAAUAGGUAGGUAUGGUGGCAGUUUUGAGGAAGAUAUAAUAAGGCUUAUGUGUGAUAGAGCGUAUCAUAUCACGGGGUUUGGAUGCACCUGCGAAGUUUGCACCACGUCUCGAUGUGAGAAAGGGCAAUGCACGGUACCGUAGAGGCUAGAAAAUUGCGGAAAGGUGUAACACCCCGGAUGUAACUUUCCAUAUUUGUAACUCCAACUCUUGCCAUUUUCGGCUAUGUGUUAUGAUAUUCCCUUCGUGGUCGGGUUUUGUUUUUCGUUUUGCAUUUUGUUCAUGUCAUGCAUCUCAUAUCAUGGCAUCAUGUGCAUUGCAUUUGCAUACGUGUUCGUCUUUUGCAUCCGAGCAUUUUCCCCGUUGUCCGUUUUGCAAUCCGGCACUCCCACCUCCUCUGGCGCACCCCUCUUGUUUUCUCUUUGUGAGCGGGUGUUGAACGUUCUCGGAAUGGACCGAGUCUUGUCAAGUGGCCUUGGUAUACCACCGGUAGACCACCUGUCAAGUUUCGUUUCAUUUGGAGGUCGUUUGGUACUCCAACGGUUAACCGGGUAACCGCAAAGUCCUUUUGUGUGUUGCAGCAAAAACCCCCUCCAAACAGCCCAAAACCCCUCUAAGUCACCUCCAUGCUCUAGGUCGUUCGAUCACGAUCGUGUGGGCGAAAACCGUGCUCCAUUUGGACUCUCCUAGCUCCCUCUACCUAUAAAACUCCUCCCCCCUCCAAAAUCUCGGGCAAAAACCACCCUAACCCUAGUCCCCUUCCCCUCUCCGCGGCCGGACGCGUUCGCCGCCGCCGGACGAACCAGCGCCGCCGCCCCGUGCCAAUCACAGAGCGCCACGUGUCCCUACGCCGCCGCCCGUNNNNNNNNNNNNNNNNNNNNNNNNNNNNNNNNNNNNNNNNNNNNNNNNNNNNNNNNNNNNNNNNNNNNNNNNNNNNNNNNNNNNNNNNNNNNNNNNNNNNNNNNNNNNNNNNNNNNNNNNNNNNNNNNNNNNNNNNNNNNNNNNNNNNNNNNNNNNNNNNNNNNNNNNNNNNNNNNNNNNNNNNNNNNNNNNNNNNNNNNNNNNNNNNNNNNNNNNNNNNNNNNNNNNNNNNNNNNNNNNNNNNNNNNNNNNNNNNNNNNNNNNNNNNNNNNNNNNNNNNNNNNNNNNNNNNNNNNNNNNNNNNNNNNNNNNNNNNNNNNNNNNNNNNNNNNNCGCCGCCCGCGUCCACGGCGUCGCGCCGCCCGCGACCGCCGUGCUUCCCCGCCGGAUCCGGUCCCCUCCACCCCGGCGGCCUCCUCCCUCUCCCUUCGGCCGAGCUCCAGCUGCCCCGCAAGCUCCGGCGAGCCUCGAGCCCCGAUCCAAUCUAGCACGGUUGACUUUUUCCCCUCUCUCGAUUUUCUCGAAGUCCUAGAAUAUUUACAAUACAUGCUCAUGUUCAUCGCAUCAUAACUCUCUGCAUACUGCUCCGUUUUGCGCGUGUAAUAUAUCGAGAUGUUCGCCUCGAGAUGCUCUUCAUUUUUUUACAUUGCACCAUGUUCAUUUGAGUCCAUCUUGAUGCCCAAAUCUCUGGUGCAAGAGUGCUAGUUGCUGUUAACUGCUGUUACUUAUCAGAACUUGAGGGUUUGUUAUUUUUGUUGCAUUUAAUGUGUGCAUCUUAUGGGCAUGAGCUCUACAUGUGUUUUGAUGUAUGCCAUGUCGUCUUUACAAAGGUGUAUACCAUAUAUUUUGGUGAUCUAUGUGGUGACUAGCACAAGCAUGCAAACUAGGCUUCGUGAUGUUUCUAAUUUCAGACUUAGUAAUUUUACCAAGUCUGUGACUGCUGUUAUUUUGUUGCUAUGUAUCCAUGUGGCUACAGAGAGAUCCAUGCAUACCCUUAUUUGCAAUUAUUUUGGUGAUGUUCAGUAAGGAUGUUUUGUAGAUAUUGUUGUAGUUGAUCCAUGCAUACCCUUAUUUGCAAUUAUGGAGUGCCAUAGCAUGACUCAAGCUUGCUAUACUUUUGCUAUAAAAUAUUUCUGGCAGAUUGUUAACAUGAUAUUCAAUUUUGCCAAGCUUGUUGUAGUUGUUUCAUACAUGCUAUGUACUUGCUCUUGACAUGGAUAGCUUCAUAAACAUGCCAUCUUGCUGUAGGUAUGCUUGUUUUGUUAUGUGUUGCUUUGUGAUGAGUGCAUCAAGCUCACCAACAUGCCUUCAUAUUAUUGUUUCUGCCAUGCUCUGUUUUCUGCUAAGUCUGAAACCUGUUAACGAAACUUGCUAUGUUUACAUGGUUGUCAUCAUAUCUUCGGGCCCUUUUUAGCUUAUGGUCAGUAAGGGACUUUUGUCAUAUGCAUUUAGUAGAUUCCUGCCAUGCCUUGUUUUGCUAUGUUAAGUUCUUGUAGCAUGUUGAUUUCUUGCUCUGAACUUUGCUACCUGAUACUGUUUCAGGCAUGUCCAGUAAUUUCACUAAAAGUCUGUGAACCUGUUAUCUUUUGCACUUUUGCCAUGCUUGUUUGAACCUGCUGUGAUGUGAUCUAGCCGUAGCUCAGUGUCCCUCUUUUGUCAAGCAUCUACUGUAGAUUACUUCCAUAUACUUUUUUGCUAUGUUGGGGGUGCUGUAGCAUAGUUGCUUGUUGCAUUCUAAGUGCUAUCAUGCUGUUAAACGCAGAAUAGAGUCAUUCUUGUUUUGCUUGCCAUUUGCAAACCGUGCAUCCGUUUCCGGUGAUCUUUAUAUCGAUUUCGACCGAAAUCAUCUCAUCUUUCCAGUGGCAUGCUUGGUUUGCCAAGUUACUGCCUUGUUCAUCAUUUUUCUUCCGGAGCACGCAUAUGCAUCGCAUAUCAUAUCUUGCAUAUAAUUCAUGGUUUGCAUCAUGUUGCUUGUGCAUUUCCCGUGAUUGAUUGCGGUUCUGUUGCUUGUGUUCUUGUUUUGGGUAGAGCCGGGAGACGAGUUCGUGAACGAGGAACUUGUUGAGUACGCUUACGAGGAUCAAGCUUUCGACAACUCUGAGAACCUUGCAGGCAAGAUGACCAUACCCUCGAAAUCACUUCUAUCUUUGCUUUGCUAGUUGUUCGUUCUAUUGCCAUGCUGCACUACCUACCACUUGCUAUAUCAUGCCUCCCAUUUUUCCAUGUCAAGCCUCUAACCAUCCUUUCCGAGCAAACCGUUGUUUGGCUAAGUUACCGCUUUUGCUCAGCCCUUCUUAUAGCGUUGCUAGUUGCAGGUGAAGUUGAAAUUGGUUCCAUGUCGGAACAUGGAUAUUUUGGGAUAUCAUAAUAUCUCUUAUUUAAUCAAUGCAUCUAUAUAUUUGGUAAAGGGUGGAAGGCUCGGCCUUAUGCCUGGUGUUUUGUUCCACUCUUGCCGCCCUAGUUUCCGUCAUACCGGUAUUAUGUUCCUUGAGUUUGCGUUCCUUACGCGGUUGGGUGAUUUAUGGGACCCCCUUGACAAUUCGCCUUGAAUAAACUCCUCCAGAGCAAGGCCCAACUUUGGUUUUACCAUUUGCCACCUAAGCCCUUUCCCUUGGGUUUUCGCGAGCCCGAGGGUCAUCUUUAUUUAAACCCCCGGGCCAGUGCUCCUCUGAGUAUUGGCCCAACCUGUCAGUCGCCGGUGGCCACCAGGGGCUCGCCUAUCGGAAGCUUGGACAAUCCGGUGUGCCCUGAGAACGAGAUAUGUGCAGCUCCUAUCGGGAUUUGUCGGCACAUUCGGGUGGCUUUGCUGGUCUUGUUUUACCAUUGUCGAAAUGUCUUGUAAACCGAGAUUCCGAGACUGAUCGGAUCUUCUCGGGAGAAGGUUUAUCCUUCGUUGACCGUGAGAGCUUAUGAUGGGCUAAGUUGGGACACCCCUGCAGGGUAUUAUCUUUCGAAAGCCGUGCCCGCGGUUAUGAGGCAGAUGGGAAUUUGUUAAUGUCCGGUUGUAGAGAACUUGUCACUUGACUUAAUUAAAAUACAUCAACCGUGUGUGUAGCCGUGAUGGUCUCUUCUCGGCGGAGUCCGGGAAGUGAACACGGUUUGAGUUAUGCAUGAACGUAAGUAGUUUCAGGAUCACUUCUUGAUCAUUUCUAGUUUCGCGACCGUUGCGUUGCUUCUCUUCUCGCUCUCAUUUGCGUAUGUUAGCCAUCAUAUAUGCUUAGUGCUUGCUGCAGCUCCACCUCAUUACACCAUCCUUUCCUAUAAGCUUAAAUAGUCUUGAUCUCGCGGGUGUGAGAUUGCUGAGUCCUCGUGACUCACAGAUUCUACCAAAACAGUUGCAGGUGCCGACGAUGCCAGUGCAGAUGACGCAACCGAGCUCAAGUGGGAGUUCGAUGAGGAACGUGGUCGUUACUAUGUUUCUUUUCCUGAUGAUCAGUAGUGGAGCCCAGUUGGGACGAUCGGGGAUCUAGCAUUUGGGGUUAUCUUAUUUUCAUUUGGAUUUGACCGUAGUCGGUCUAUGUGUGGAUUUUGGAUGAUGUAUGAAUUAUAUUUAUUUAUUGUGUGAAGUGGCGAUUGUAAGCCAACUCUCGUUAUCCCAUUCUUGUUCGUUACAUGGGAUUGUGUGAAGAUGACCCUUCUUGCGACAAAACCACAAUGCGGUUAUGCCUCUAAGUCGUGCCUCGACACGUGGGAGAUAUAGCCGCAUCGUGGGCGUUACAAAAGGUAAGAGAGUGUAUAAUCCAUGGACUCACAUUAGUCAUAAAGAACUCAUAUACUUAUUGCAAAAGUUUAUUAGCCCUCGAAGCAAAGUACUACUACGCAUGCCCCUAGGGGGAUAGAAUGGUAGGAAAAGACUAUCGCUCGUCCCCGACCGCCACUCAUAAGGAAGACAAUCAAUAAUAAAUCAUACUCCAAAUUCAUAGAAUAACGAGAGACUAUACGUGCAUGCUUCGGGAAUCACAAACCUUAACACCAAUAUUCUUACUAAACACAACCAUUUAAUAGUACCUCCCACAUAUUCCAUCUCUAUAUCGCAAAAGUAUUGCAAGGAAUCAAACAUAUCAUAUUCAGUGAUCCAUAAGUUUUAUGUAGGAUUUUAUAACUAUGCAAUUGACCAAUUCCUUUUGACUCUCUAAAUAGAUAUAAGUGAAGCAUGAGAGUUUAAUUCUUUCUACAAAAGACCAUGCUCUAAUAAAUAUAAGUUUAGCAAAAGAGCAUUCUACAAACAACGGUUUUCUAUGUGAAGAGAAAUAGGCAAUCCAAACUUCAAAUGAUAUAAGUGAAGCGCGUGAAGCAUUCUAUAAAGCCAUACUCAAAAGAUAUAAGUGAAGUGCAAUGAGCAUUCUAUAUAUCAACCACGGACUAUCUCAUACCAGCAUGGUGCAUAAAAGAAAAAUAAAAACUAAACGCAAAAGACACUCCAAGAUUUGCACAUAUCACAUGAACGAAACGAAUCCGAAACCAUACCGAUACUUGUUGAAGAAAGAUGAGAUGCCUUCCGGGGCAUCCCCAAGCUUAGACGCUUGAGUCUCCUUGAAUAUUUACUUGGGGUGCCUUGGGCAUACCCAAGCUUGAGCUCUUGCCUCUCCUCAUUCUCCUCACAUCGAGACCUCCUCGAUCUUCGAACACUUCAUCCACACAAAAUUUAACCAAACUUUUAGUGGCGGGGUUAGUGAAUAUGGCAAUGAAAUCCCAUCAUGUACUGCUGUAACAUUAUUGUAUAAUUAUAAACAAACAUUAUCCACUGUAUGCUAUCACAAUUCUAUGGCCCCAAGUCAAGGAGGCUUCAAUAAGAAUUCAAACAUACGCAAAUAAUGAAGCUAUAACAGCAAUCUGUGAAAACAGGUCAGUGUGUAAAUUCUGAAAAAAUAGGAAAAAUAAACAUUUUGUAUAGAAAGAUAGUACAAAAGGUUUCAGAACCGUUUGAUGUUCCAGUAAAAAAUGUAAAAUCGCGCACUACAGCGAAAGUUUUUGUUUUGCACCGCACAAAACAACAAGCAAUUUAAACAUCCUAAAGGCAAAUCUUGUCACAUUAUUUUUAUGAUACAAUGGAAUUGUGACAAGUAUAUUUUACAUAUAUAAUUCAGCACUCAAAUAUACCAUAUAUUGUGAUUUAUUCAUCCAUUCUUGCUAUGUUUGAUUGAUUGUUUGCUUGAUAAUCAUAAGGGGAACAUUUACUAGUCAUUUGUUUCCUUUGCAGAAAAGUACGCAAAGGCACUAUAAACUUCAUGAUUCCGACUAUGAGACCAAGGGAAAUAAGAAAAGGAGGGACUGAGUAUGAAGAAUUGAAGAUCCGGGGGGGUUGCUAACGAAGAAUGGGGAUCAACUUGUGCAGAAAGAAGAGAAGAGAAGGGCCAUAUAGCAAAAGUGGCAGAUCAGAUUGUGGGAUCAAAUCCCUAGCGGUUGCCUCAUUCCCAAUCGGGCCUGGACAUCUCUCCCUUCCCCAACCUCCUUCUCCACCUCCGGCCGCCGCCACGGCCAGGCCGGCGUGGUGGCGCACCAGCAGCCUCCAUCCACCAGCGCCAUCCAUCACCACAUCACCAGCACCCAGCGCCACCAUCACCUCCAUCGCCGCACCUCGCGCGCCAGAUCAGACUAGUGUCUGAUCCCCCGCGCGCCCUCAACUGCUGCCGCCUCUUCUCUCUUCUGCUCCCUGCUACUUCCUUCCUCUGCUCUCUGCCUGCUGCUGCUUCUUCUUCCCCUCCCUCGCUGCUGCCCUUGUUCCCCUCGCUGCUCCUCCUCCUCCUCAAUCUCUGCUGCUACUUCUCCUUCUUCUUCAACCUGCUACUGCUCGCCCUCAACCCUCUCUGCUGCUUCUCUCACCCGGAUGCCCCUGCUGCUGCUAUUACUCUCAUAGCCAACACUUGCUACUACCCCCUGCUGCUCUUCACUUGCCGAAGCUCUUCUCUGAACCUCUCCUCCUCCUCUCAACGCCCCCUGCUGCUCCAUCUUCUCUCUCAAUGCCUCUUGCUGCUGUCUUCUUCUCUGAACCCAAACUGCUGCUCUUCUCUUCUCUCUUUACUUCUUGCAAAAUUCUGUAAACUGCUAGGUGACCUUGUGUACUGUCCUGAACACCUCAUUUCUGUAAAUUUAAAAUAUGUAAUACUCCCUCCGUCCCAUAAUAAGAGCGUUUUUUACACUAGUGUAGUGUCAAAAACGCUCUUAUAUUAUGGGACGGAGGGAGUACUUUGUAAGGUUCAGAUUUUAGUUCUGUUUCGUACUUGCAGCUAUAGUGCACGUUUAAUGUUUGGUCUAUGUGAUUUUGCUUUCCAAGUUAGUAUUCUGCUAGCAUGUGUGUGUUCACCUUGUGUACUAAUCCCCUGUACUAGUUAUCUUCCAGUACUUGUCCACUUUGUGUGUGUUUAGUUUUCAGUCUCUGUGAUAGCUUCGUCCUGUGACAAAUAUGUUUCCAAUGUGAAACAUAUCCAUUCUGAUAAAUAAAAAAUGAAUAAAUAAAAAAAUAAAAAAGUUAUAGUGCACAAGUUGAUCCCCAUUCUUCUUUAGCAAACCCCCCCUGUCUUUAAUUCUUCAUACUCAGUCCCUCCUCUUCUUAUUUCCCUUGGUUUCAUAGUUGGAAUCAUGAAUUUUAUAGUGCCUUUGUGCACUAUUUUGCAAAAGAAACAAAUGACUAGUAAAUGUCCCUUUUUAUGAUUAUCAAGCAAACAGUCAAUCAUACAUAGCAAGAAUAGAUGAAUAAAUCACAAUAGAUGGUAUAUUUGAGUGCCGAAUUACAUAUGUGAAAUAUACUUGUCAAAUUGUACAAGGGAUAAUUAUUUUUAUUGAAAAUUUUCUGUAAUUAAGAUUCACAAAGUUCCGUGAGCAUGAACAAAGUUCAAGGAGCUCCCCCAUUUCAACAAUGCUUGUCUCUCUCACUUUCACUUUCCUUUUUGAAAAGUUUUGGGUUCCCCUCUAUAUUUUUUUGUUUUUAAACUUUAUAAGAGCACUCAACAGAAAUAAAUGAUUCUCUAAAACUUUCGGGUUGUCUCUGGCAGCGCUUUCUUUAAAGCCAUUAAGCUAGGCAUAAAGUGCUCAAGUAAUUGAUCCACCCGGAUCCCAAGGUGUAUCAAAGCCAAUUUGAAUCAACAAAUGAUUUUUAAUUUAGUAGUGAGCACAAAGCAACAUAAAUCAUGCAAUGACGAAGUCUAACUCUCUUCCUAUGCAUCGGCAUGUCAUACAAGAACAAUUCAUGCACAUCAAGUAAAGGCCAAUGCAUAGCAUAAGUAGUUUCUUGCAAUUUUAUCGUGUUGUUAACAUAAAGAGACGAAGAUGAAGUUUCUCUCUCAUAAUAAUUGCAAGUAGGAGCAGCAAGCGCAUGCAUAUUAUAUUUAUCAAAAUCAUCGUGUGUAGUGGUAGAAUGCAACCCAUCAAUAUAAUCCUUAAUAAGUGCAUACUUUUCCGAUAUAGUGUAGCUUGAAGAAUUUAAAAAGAUAAUAGGACUAUCAUGUGGUGGUGCAAUAGCAACAAUUUUAUUCUUAACAUAUGGAACUAUAGCAAGUUCAUCUCCAUAAGCAUAAUUCAUAUUGGCAUCUUGGCCACAAGCAUAGCAAGCAUCAAUUUCAUCGAAAAGGGAUAUUUCAAAUGAAUCAAUGAGAUCAUAAAAAUUAUCAUAUCAUUCAUCCUUGGGUAAGAACGAAGAGGC